CUCUCUCUCUCUUUACCUCUAUUCAAAUAAAAUUUUUGAAAAAAUGAUCAAACUUUUCGUCUUUCAUUAAAAUAUUAUAAAAUAGACAAAAUCUUCUUUUCACCUUUUAAUAAAUUAUAGUCACCAACAAAUAUUUAAUUAUUUACCUAAAAUUUAGAACUUUUUUACCAUACCUUUUACGUAUAAAUUUUUUAAAAAUUCUUUUUUCUCCAAGGACAACCGUUCACAAUUUUUUUGGUGGCAAAAAAUAAUUGUCUUAUGUCUGAGUUAGAAUACUUUGAUUUUUUUCAGAUUCAUUAUAGCUUUAGAGUUUUCUUUGAAAAAUAGAUUCUUUGUUGAGGUUAGGUUUUUGUUUAGGUUUAAUCGCAAAUGUGUUUGUGAUUUGAGGUAAGUUUUCUAAAAUUUUGGUAUGAUUUUUAUAUUUAUAAAAAUAAAUUGUCAUAUACUUUGAUAGAUAGACGAUUGUUAAUUAAGAAGUUUUCUUUUGUGAUUUAAGUAUGUUCUUGAAGUUUAAAAUAAUAAAUUAUCAUGUAUUUUUGAUAGAUUAUUGGCAAUUGAGAAGUUUUCUGUGAUUUUUAUUUAUAAUAAUUUAUUAAUAUAAUAGAUAUAGGAAUAUCUCUAAAAGAUCAAGUUCAUACCUUAAUCGUAAAAUAUGAUUUAAUUAAUGUAUCUGUUAGAGAAUUAUUUUCAUAAACCUAUUUAUUCACAUAAGUAUGUCAUGAGAACUUGCAAACCCAACAUCAUAUAUUUGUUAAAUCCAAUUCAAUAUCACUUGCUUGAAUCAAAAUAGAAGUGGAUUAAAUGAUAGGGUGCAAUAGCCACUUUUUAAUUGCUGAAUUUUUCUUUACUUUAUUGUAGUUUAGAAUGUGUUUUGAUAGGCGUUUGUCCAUAAAAGUAAAAAAAAAAAACCGGAGUUAAGUUGAAGUUGGAGUUGUAAUUAAAAUUAUAGAUUUAGUUGAGUUUGACUAUGAAUAUAUAUUUUGUAAGAGAAAUGAGAAUGAAAAAAGUGAAUACAAGUUGAGAUUUGUUUCACUUUUUCAAAGUUGUAUUUGGAUUUUGUACAGCCAAACAUCAUUUCUUGAAUAAAGUGAAAAAUAUUUUCGAAAAGAAUUGUUUUCUCAUGGCCAAACUUAGCCUAAGUGUAUUAAUACGAACAUAAUUUUAACUUUUGAUAUUAAUGAAAAAUUUUGUUCAAUACAUUUAAUUUUGCUCCUUAAUUAUUAGUAUGAUAGUUGGUUAUCAUGUUCCUCUUUAAACACACUUUUUAGGUUAAAAAAUUUCCGUUAAUUUUGAUAAAAUUUAAAAUUGUUGAUUUCUCCCUAAAAGAUAAUUUUUCUCUUUGCUGAUUAUCAUAUUUUAUCCAUCAAUAUGAAGAUGCGAAGAAAAUAAUACGAGAUGCCAUACUAUUGAAAUAUAAUAUUAUAUAUAUUAUUUAAAUAGACAUAUGUUUGUUUCAACGCCAGUUGAUACUUUUAAUAUAUAGUUUUAUUGUUUGAUGCAAGACACACAUGCAAUGCACGUACACUAACCUAGUUCAAAAAAAAAUAAGAGGGAGUUGACGCAUAGUCAAGUAUGUAGGCUCAGUGGCGGACCCAACUUUUUUAGGUUGUGGGUGCUCAAAAAAAAAUUUACUAAACAAUGCAGCUACAGGGAUUCGAUCCCAGGAUGGGAGACAUGAAAGUUAUAUCUAAAGCUAAAGCACCCAACCAUGCUUUUGUUCUCUGGGUGCUUUUGUAUAUAUUUUACCAUUUUUUCAUUGUUUCUAAUAUAAUUAUACCUCUUUUAGGUCAAGUUUAGUAGGUGCUCGAGCACCCGAAAAUUGCAUGUCGGUCCGCCCAUGUGUAGGCUGAUGGUUAAAAGUAAACACAAACUAUAAAAAAAAAAUGUAAUGUUCUACUAUUAAAACUGAAAAUUAUAUUUUGAAUUAAAGUCAACAAAUGAAAUGUAAUUCUUAAGUGGGGCUUAGAAGAAUAGAGUAUACGUUGACCUUACUCCUAUCUUGAAAAGGAGAAACAGAAUAAUGUCAAUUCAUUUUUUUAAGUACCAGCAGUCCAAGAAAGUCGCUAAAAUACACAAUGUGCAAGGACUUUUCGAUUCUUGUAGGAUACAAGCACAAAAAAUAAGUUCAACUAAUCCAAUGGAAAAAAACGACAAAAGUAAACUCUGGAACAUAAGUAAACAAACAAUAACCAUUUUAGAUAAAUCCGAGUCUGUCUUUCAUACAUCCAUAACAAUCAAGAAAAAGAUAUUUAGCUAAGUACAUAACGCAUUUCAAGAGAUAAAUUGGACAAUUACAUGACAUAACUAAUCUUCUCAAGACUUGAAAAGAAAAAAGAAAAAAAAAAAAGAAACAUUGACAAACAAAAUUAAGAAUUACCAAAAUAUUUACUUAUUUUUCGUUUAUUUAAGUACAAAUGUCACAAAAGAAUCCAUCGAACAUAUCAUCUAUGAAAACACCUUCAAUUAGGACAAUUCAAAUCUCAUCAUUUUGUAGUAAAUCGACAAAUCAACAUGUUUGAUAAUUGUAUAUGAUCAUCCAAAAGCAUAGAACAAAACAAAAAUAUUAACCAAUUAAAUUCAAAACUCUCAAAUCUUUUUUAAUUCACAAACAAAGAAAAUAAUUAAAACUCCCGAACUCUUGAACACGUACUCGAUUCUUUGUCACUUCGAUUUCCACCACGCAUUCAUAACAACCUAGGAAAAGAUAUCUAGCUAAGCACAUAAAGCAUCUCAAAAUAUCAAAAUAUAAUCUUAUAUUUCGAAUUUAACAAAUAAGUGUAAUUAAAAAUUCAACUAUAAUACUAACAAAUAAUGUGUCAAAAUAUAGUAAAUUAACAUAAUCAAAGCUAAUCAAAAUUAAGUAACAAUUAAAAAACAAAGAGAAAGAGAUAAACCUUUGAUAUUUUGGCUACUUCAUUCGGCAUCAAUAUGCUUAUUUUGUCCAAUUUUUCGAUUCAAAAUUCUAAACUGAAAAAGAAAAAUAUCAAAAAAGGAGAAUUUGCUGUCAAUUAUUGAUUAUAUAUAAUUAAUAUAUAAUAUAUAAAGAUAUUAACUAAAAGAAAUUUAAAAAAAAAAAUUAAAAAGAUGAUGAUGCAAAAAUAUGACUUGAAUCAUCAAAAUCAAAAUAUAAGAAGAAAAAAGUAGAAGUAAAAGAAGUAUACCUUUUCUAGUAAAUUUUAAUUUGAUCCAUCCAAAAAUAUUACUUAAACAGAGUUAGAGAAAUUCUUUUUUAUAUAAAGUAAAAUUUUAAUUAAUUUAGAAGUAUUAAAUAUUAUGAUUUCUUACCUAAACUAAUAACAAAAACUAAAAAAACAUAAAUAAAAUUAAGUGCAACUUUUUUUUUAUCUAAUUUAAAAAGAAUACAUUAGAGCCCUUUAACAUAGAGACAAAAUAUAUCUACACAAUUUCUUACAUGCUCUUUUCUUUAAUAUUUUUCUUUUUUAAUUCUUUUUUUUGGAACAUGAGUUUCUUCUUCUUUUUUUACUUUUCAUGUUUUCUUUCUUUUAUUCCUUUUUUUUUUUUUACGUGAUUAAGUGAUUUGUCAAUUAAGGAAAGUUUAUUAGUUAGAAUUAAAAGGGGAGAAGGACUCUUAAAAUUAAUUGUCAAAUAUUUUUAUAUUUUAUAAUCAAUUAAAAAAAAGUGAAAAGACCGUUUUGUCUAUUGCAGAUUAGUUUAACGAAGGAUAAAAAGUUCAAAUCAUUUUUUUAAAGAGCUUCACACUUUUAAUAUAUCAUAGAUUUAUCAAUUAAGGAAAGUUUAUUAGUUAGAAUUAAAAGAGGAAAAGGACUCUUAAAAUUAAUUGUUUAAAUAUUUUUAUAUUUUAUAAUCAAUUAAAAAAAAGUGAAAAGACCAUUUUGUCUAUUGCAGAUUAUUUUAACGAAGGGCAAAAAGUUUAAAUCACUUUUUUAAGGAGCUAUUAUAUGAAUUGUCAAAAAGUUCAAUUCAGAUUAUUAGAAAUGUGAAUGAAUUGUCAUACAUAUUAAUUCAAAUAUGAAUUAAAAAAGAAAUCUAACAAAAAAGAAAUCGAAAAAAUGAAGGGCUAGUCCAUCCCAACUUGCGAUCCUUAGGUCUGGAUUGGACAUAUAUUUUAGGGCCCUCUAGAGUAAAGGGUCUGCUUAUCCUUCUUUGGCCAAUGAGGCUCGUUUGAGUUAGGUUGGCCCAGUCCAUUUUGAUGAUCUAUUUAUGUUGUAAGCCUUAAAAUCUAUAUUUAUAAUCUAUAUCUAUAUCUAUAAUAUAUUAAAAGUGUGAAGGUUUUUAGAAAAGUGAUUCGAACUUUUUAUCCUUUAUUAAAAGAUUUUGCAAUAGACAAAAUCGUCUUUAGAUUAUUUUUUUCUCAAAUUAUAAAAUUUUAAAUUAAAUAAUAUCUUUUCUAUCAAGGUUUGCUCCAUAAGAAUCCUAUUGCUAAGAAACAAACUUUUACAUCACAAUUAGCCGUCAAUAUAUAGAUCCUAAUAAACUUAAACCUUACUAAAUUAUAAAUUAGGACAAAAUAACUAAGCAAAGCAACUACUCCAAGCCUAAAAAAUAUCAAACUGACAUAUUUAUGUGCAGUUAACUGUAGGCCCUUACAAACCUAAACCCCAGUCCUAAAUUAUAAAUUAGGAAAAAAUUAACCAACUCCGAACCAAAAUAUACCAAAAUAGCAUGUUUAACUAUUUUCUUUUAUUUGGCAUAUUCUAGCAAGAUAAGAAAUUAGAACAUUUAACACUUUUAAAUCAAUUAAAAUUUUACUUUAUAUAAAAAAAAUUAUAUAAUUCUAUUUAUGUACUAACAUCCGCUUCUUCUAUCUCUAAGUUUUUUUUUUUUUUUCUUAUUUUGAUUUUUAUUGAUCUAAGUUAUUUUUCUUGCAUUCAUUAUCAUCAUUUUUUCUAUCUUUUUUUUUAAUUAAAAAAAAAUCUUUUAGCUUGCAGCUUUAAAAAUUAAGUAUAAAUUAACCAACAAUUGAUAAUAAAUUCUUCUUUUCUAAUAAUUUUUUGUGUUUUCACUUUCUGUUGAAAGUUUCUAAUAAUAUACACAUGUUGCUGCCAAAUAAAGUUAUCAGAAAAGUCAAAGAUUUAUCUGUUCCGUAGUUUAAGCCGUGACUCAUAUACCUUUAUCGUGCAUAUUUUGAAUGCAAUAAUUUUUCAAUCUACAAUUAAGGUACUUCCGUCCAUAGAUUUUCUACAAAUUAAUUAUUUAUUUAUAACUUUUUUCUUAUUUUUUAGUCUGAAUAUAAUAAUCUCUAUCAAUGUUAACGAGUCAAUGAUCAGGAGGCCAAAUUUAAAUUUUUCAAUGUUCAAUAAGUAUGAUUUUGUUUUAAUUUGCUUUCUUCUUAAGCUCUUUAUUAUUUUGUGACUUUGAAUUUUCUUAUUUUUUACUCAUACACAUAAAAUUGUAAUCUAACAAUUUUAUUGAUUGAUGUUUACAUAUCUCUUAGUAUAAACUUUAGACAUGUAUUAAAUUUUAACUUAUUUAUAAAAUGUAAGAACUGCUAAUAUGUAAUACAUUAAGAUUGAUUAAAAUUAAAUAAAGUUAUCGAUUAAUGUGUAUUGAAUAAUAAUAAAUAUAAUUACUGCCUUCCUAUUUUUCCCUUUUCCUCUAUUUUCUUUCAAGUUCCUUCCUCCAUAAUUAUAUAUUGAAUGUAAUAUAUUGAAAAUAGUUUUUUCGUAUUAGUUGAAGUAGAAGUCUUAUAUGUGUAUUAUCGCUAAAUGGCCAAAAACAAGUUUAAAUAAGACCAAUAGCUAAAUCAGAACUUUUUAAAAUUGAAUAUAUGCAUAAAAAUUAUUUACAUCCUCAAUUUUGAUAUAAAAUGCAUGCACCCACCCAAACUAUACCGUGAAUAGUACCUACAAGAACAAUCUAACACCUUUCUCACUUUUCUUUUCUCAAAAUAUAGAUAAAACACGGACAUAGCCAGUGGUAUUGUGCUAUGUAGAGGAGAUAUGGAGCUAAAAAAUAUCGUAGUUUGUGUCCAUAACAUUUCUCAAAAGCUUGUACAGUUAAUUAUGUCAAGACCAAAAGGAAAUUUAUGAUGGCUGAUUAAUGUACGUUACAGUACUCCAAUAAUCAAAUUCAUCAUAGACACUAUAUCUUUUUCUACUCUCUUUUACUGGCGAAUAGUUGGAAUGCCUCAAAACUUCAUGAAUUUAACCAGGAGUUAAGAAAGUUAUUCAAUAAUUUAAGAAAUGUUGCGGCAAAUGGUGGUUACCUUAGAUGAUCGUAUUCUAAGAGGCAAUAGCAAGUCUAUUGCAGAAAUUGUUGGUGUGUUAAAAUAUGACUGUUAUGGAGAUUUUAUAUAUGUGUGUGUGUUUUACUGCAUAAUUUUUCUAAAAGUCAUUUAAACACGAUUUGACAUAAUUAUUUUUGUGAUUAUUUUUAGUGUCAGCUGUAUACAUGUGUUUGCAUAGUGUUGGAAUUUAUGUUGUAUACAUGUUAUGUUAUUGUACAAAAUGCAAGCUUUGAUUUGAAUUUCUUAAUGGAGGAGCAGAAAUUUUAUAUCCCAAAAUAUAAAAAAUUAGAAGGGUCUUGCUACAUUUCUACAUAAACCCAGGGCUUGUUAAUAAGUUGAAUAAUAAUUAUUGUAAUUUGUUACAAAUAGUUGUUUUAUACUACUUUUAAAAAAUUAUUAUUUAAUUAUUUUUUAUAGUAUUUAGAAUUUAAAAUUAAGAAAUCCUAAAUAUAUUAUUAUAAAAAAAUAUUUUAGAAAUUAAAGAUUCCUAAAAUAUAUGGUAAGAGAAAAAUCUAUUAUAAAAAUUAAUGAGUCCUAUAAUAUAUGGCAAGAGAAAAUGUAUCCCAAGAAAUAUUCGGAAAGUUAAUAAUUAAGAAGUCUCAAAAUACAUGGCAUGAGAAGAAUAUGUUAUAUUUUAUUAAAUAUAAUUUUACUGACAUGAGACACACUUGCAAAGCACGUAUACUGAACUAGUUUGUUCAGAAACUUUUAAUGAGAAGAAAACUAUAACGAUCUAAAAAUUUGAUAAAAUACGUAAAAUUUGUGUUUUUAUGUGAUUUGACUGUUUUACCCCUAUUCAUAAUUGUAUUAUAAUAUUUUUGUGGUGUGGGAGUGAUUGACAUGGUUCCCGGUGCAUUUUGGUAUCAUUUAUGCAAUAUUGUAGUUUUUGAUGGCUUCAAGAGCCUUAUUUUGGACUUAUAUGGAUAUCUUUUGAUCCGUGCGAUGGAUGGCCAAACGGAUUGCGCCAGCAGCUUCGGAAUAUUGAUUUUAGGUUAGGUAGACCUUUGGUUUGGGUCUCGGUGCUUCUGAGCUCAUUUCGACCUAUUGGUCGGAAAGUUAAAAAUAUGAGUGUGGGAUGCACAUUUGAUCGAAACAACCUCGAAUGAAAAAUUCGACUUUCCCAACAGAUCCGUAAUGUUGAUUUUAGGGUAUUAGCAUGUUUGAUAUGAUUUUACAGCUUUUAAAUCUCAUUUUGAUCCUCGGUUUGAAAAAUUGCAAUUUCGAAUUUUGGGGGUUAACUUUUUGAAAGUGAUAUUUUUCGAAAAUCCAACUUUGCAAACGCGUCAGAAACAUCAAAUUUAGUGUGGUUGCAUAGUUCGUUUACAUAUAUUAUACUCCGAACUAAUUUUGGGUACCCCGUCGAAGUCCAGAUUGACUUAAAAAACAGUUUUUUAGCUAUAUCUGUUCAGAAAAAUCUGCAAUAAUAAAUAGCAGUGUCGAGCCUAUUUUUGCUCAUUUUUCAUCUUGCCUCUUGAGAGUUAAACCCUAAAAUAAUGUGGGAGCUUAAAAGUGAAGCUUGUGGGAGCUUGGGAGGUUAGAUUAACAUAUAUUUCUUGGUUUUAUUACGGAUUUAAGGUAAGAAUUCACCCUUUUCUUAGUAAUUUCUAGAUUAAUUUUUCAAGACCCAAAAAUCUUGUGGCUUGAUUUUAAACUUCAAUUUCACUCCUUUUCACUUGAAUAAUGUUUUUAUCUUAUAAUUACUAGUUUUUCAUCAUUUUAACCUUCCAAAAACUCUGAUUCUUGAUUUUAACCCGGAUUUCAAAGAUCUUACCCUGUAAAACUUAAAAAUGGGUUUUCUUUGAUUUAAACCUCGUUUUUUUACUCAAUUUGACUUGUUUUUUUUCAUAUAUAGGUUCCUAAAAAUAUGAGGAACACAUUUUUAAAGUAAACUUUUGAUUUUUUCCUUCAUUUUCGAAAACUCAUUUCGGAGAUUCGUUUUGACCUCGAACCAAAAGUAGUCACUAUGAGUGUCGUUGAUUUUAUUUUGACGUGUAGAUUUUAUAUUUGGAGUUUGGGAUCAUUCGUGGAAAGUAAGGUUGUGGGUUCGAAGUGUAGCGGAUCGGUUUUGACUUUUGAGGUAAGUUAUAGCUUAACUCUUUCAGACUGGGUUGGAUAGUAAAUGAUGGUACAAAAUGCAUGUUAAGGGUGGGAACUAAUCAUGAAAAAUGACUAUCUAUGUGUUGUGUCCGUGUGGGGGCCUAUAUGUGAUGUAAUUAUCAAAAUUGAGAUAUAUGUGAUGUGUGUGAUUAUGUGGAGUCCUAUGUGAUGUUGAUAGCCCUAAAUACAUAUGGAUAAUUGUACUAUAUUAUUGAAAUUCCUAAUAUGAUACCAUUGGUGUAUUGUGAUAGAUUCAUACUUAUUGGUAUAUGAGACAUGUGGAAAUUCAUGAAUGAAAUGAAAAUAAUGAAUGGAUAUUGACUCACAUGGUUGUGGAAAUAUAUCAUUGUGGUUGGUUGUGGAACUAUACCAUGUAGUUGGUUGUGUAAAUACUCUUUGUGAUUGGUUCUGAGCAUUACAUCCUCAUAUCAUACUCAUUCAUGAAAUGUUGGUACCACCGUGGCAACACCUGAGUAACACUGGCAACACCUUUUUGAAACCCUCCUCGAGGGAUAUGUCGGGGAGGAGAUAUUGUAACAUCUUAUAAAACUCUUUUCGAGGAAUGUGACGGAAAAGAGAUAUGAGAUAUGUGGAUUAUAUAUGGGUUGACGAACCUCCAUUGGGUCUUACAUCGGGAAGCUUUAGCUCCGUAGGUGUAUAUAGGAAUUGUGCGAAAAUCUCAUAGGAUGUGCGACGACCUCGUGCAUCAUCAUCAUCAUCAUCAUUAUAUAUAUAUUGCACUUACUUUAUUGUGUUUAAGUUGUGUUGCACUGACAUACUGACUUGUCAUCUAUGUAUUUGUUUUACCUUCCUAUACUUGUAUUUGAUGAUCUUGUAUCUACAUGUUCUCCCUUAUUCUACUUAUAUAUGACAUAAUGUAUACUUGUGUUUUAUAUCUUGGUGUAUUGUUGUAAUAUAUGUGAUAUAUUAAAACUGUUAGUGCAAGCGGUGUGGGCUAUCAUUGUGGGAUAUUUUUUGAUUGUAGGUGAUGUGCCCUUAGCGUAUAUUUUGUAUGCUUUAUUUUAUAAUUUGCUCGGUCGGCCUAUGAUACCUACUGAGUACAAGUGGAUCAUACUUACUUCCACUUCACCCUUUUUGUGCAACUUUAGGCUUGGGUGCGCCUCAGAUUGGUUGAGUUCGGGCACCUUUAGAUUUCUCAAGGUAGCGAUUGGACAUUCAUACGUAUGGAGUUCACCUUUAUAUUUCUAUAUUAAUUAUGUUUUUACUAAUGUUCGGAGACAGAUAUUUUCAUUUAUGGUAAUUGUUCUGAUAUAUUUGAUACUGGAAUUGUAUUAGUAGUUCUUAUACUGUUGACACCAGUUUUUGGGAGUUAUAGCUACAUAUGUUAUUUUAUUAUUUUUGCUUUUAUUAUAUCAUCGUGGUUUGGCUUCGUUCUAAAAUCCUUACCUUGGGGUCUUUCUAUCUUUGUCCCAUUUGUGUAUCAAUUUGGGUAAUAGGCUUACUUGUUAAGGUUCGUCGCCAAAAGUGCCAUCAUAACCCUUAUUUUUUGGGUUGUGACAAAUUAAUAUCAGAGCAGUCAGAUUUCAUUGGUCUCAGCGGUGUAAGAACGAGAUGUCUAAUAGAGUCUCAUGGAUUGGUACGUAGAUGUCGUAUCUAUCUUCGAGAGGCUAUAGAAUGUCUUUAGGAAACUUUUCUUAUUUUUAUUCCUUACCGUGAGAAGUUCUUUCAUAUUUUGUGUUUUGAGUUAUGUUUCACUCAUUCUACGCAGAUGGAGUUGACUACGUCCCGUGAGAGUAGUGAUGUAGAGCCUUCACCUAGAGGGCAAGCCUUAAGUCAUGAUGACCCUGUGGUGCAGCUCCGUCUAGGAGGAAUGCGAGGGGACUCUCCCCUGAGCCUCAUGUUGAACGGGUUGGAGGUAUAGGUCCUACUCCAUUUCUUCAGAGUUUAUCUACCCCAGUAUUGGAGGGAUUGUUGAUACAUUUGUUGACCCGUUUAGAGGGUUCUCCCAUAGUAAUGUUGGGUGUUCCUCUAGUUCAGAGUGUUUCCUUCUGUUGCACAUGCUUAUGGUUUGGGUACACUUCAGACCCCUAGUCCUAUUCGACCUUCAGUGCCGAUACCUGACUAUGGGGUUAUGAGAUCAAGAGUCCAGCCAUCAUCUUUGUUACCUCCCCAGAUAGGAUCACAACCUGCUAGAUUUACUAUAUCUUAUCUCAUGGCUAGUGUAGUGAUGUCUUCUAAAGAUUAGAAGAGGUUCGAGAGGUUUACUCAGUUGGGUCCUCCCAUAUUGGUAGCGUAGCGGGCGAGGAUGCCUACAAGUUUCUGAUUAAUUAUCGAAAAGUUGCACAAUUUGGGUUUACUCGAAUCUCAUGGAGUUACUUAUACCUCUUAUCAGUUAAGAGAUGCAACGAGAGAUUGGUAAAGGUCGCCUGUCAGUUGUAGACCCCGUGAUUCUCUCGAGAUGACUUGGGAUCAGUUCACCGAGGCUUCCCUAGAGAGAUUUCUAUCUUUCAGCUUGAGAUAUCAUAUGCGGAACAAGUUUAAUCAUUUGGAGCAGGGCUCCAUGACAGUUUCUGAGUAUGAGGAACGCUUACAUGCCUUGUCCAGAUAUUUCUAUGAUAGCAUUUUCAUCGAGUCUGAGAAGAUUCAAAAGUUUGUGAAGGGUUUGGAUGUCUCCCUUCAGUUGGCUAUGUCUCAAAUGGUUAUGUUUGGGGAUUCUUUUAGAGUAUUAUGGAUCAUACUAUGAUGAUAGGGGGUAUUCUUAGUGCAUCUCAAGAAGGCACCAAGAAGCCGAGAUAUUUUGGUGAGUUCAGGAGUCAGACCUCUCGAGGUAGACAUUUUAGAGGUUUUCAUGGAUACCAUAGUAAGCUAGUAUAGGAGGAUUUACAGAGCUCUGAUGGUGGACCUUCUAGUUCAUCAGUUCAGGGUGGUCGUUCGAGCUUAGUUGUACCUUUUUCUGUUGAGACUGGUCAUAGAGGUUGCUAUAUGUAUGAUGAGAUUGGCCAUGUAGCCAAAGACUAUAUCUAUCAUGAGGUUCAAGCUACUCUUAUUCCAACUAUGGUAGAGGUGAUACCAAAGGUGCGAAGGGCAGAGCUAGUAGAGCUCGAGGGGUGUUCAUGUAUCCACUCAAGUAAUUGGUGGUCGUGGGGUUCAUCAAGCAGUUGUGGUCGUUGUCACUGUUAUUCUAUACCAGCCAUGCCUAAGGAAGAGGCUUUUGAUGCAAUGAUUACAAGUAUCGUCCCCAUUUGUUUCAAACCUACAUCUAUAUUAUUUGAUCCUGAAUUAACUUUAUCCUAUAUGUCUGUAUAUUUUGCUUCAGGUUUUGAUUUUGUUAGUAAGCCUCUUGCUAUUCGUGUAUCUACCCCAGUAGGUAAUUCUUUAGUGGUGGAUCGGGCGUAUCGAUCUUAUGUUGUGACUUUUGCCGCCUUUAUUAGAUAUGAUAUAUUUUGAUAUUAUUUUGGGUAUGGAUUGGUUGGCUCUCUAUCAUGUCGUCCUAAAUUGUUAUGCCAAGACCGUCACCGUAGCAUCGCUGGGUGUGCCAAGGAUAGCUUGGAAGGGUGCAGUUCAUUUGAGUCCUAGAAGAAUUAUAUCUUAUGUUUAGGCUCUCAAAUUCAUUAAAAGGGGAUGUUUAUCUUACUUGAACCAUAUUUGUGACACCACUGUUGUUUUAUCUUCUUUCUUAGAUUCUGUCUGCAUUGUUCAUGAGUUUAUGUACGUGUUCUCUAUGGACUUGCCUGGUAUGACUUUGGAUCGAGAUAUUGAUUUCGCUAUUGAUGUUGAGCUGGGACCAAGCCCAUCUCUAUUUUUUCUUAUUGGACGGCCGAAUCAGAGUUAAAAAAAAUUAAAGGAUCAAUUUCAGGAGUUGUUGGAUAAAGGAUUUAUCCGACUUAGUGUUUUGCCUUGGGGUGCACUAGUCUUGUUUGUGAAGAAAAAGGAUGGGUCUAUGUGGAUUUGUAGUGAUUAUCAGCAGUUGAAUAAGGUGACAGUUAAGAAUAAGUAUCCUUUUUCUCUUAUUGAUGAUUUAUUUGAUCAGCUUCAGGGUGCUGUGGUGUUUUUGAAGAUUUAUUUAAGGUUCGGUUAUCACUAGUUGAGGAUUAGAGCUUUGGAUAUUCCGAAGACAACUUUUCAAACUUGAUAUGGUCAUUGUGAUUUUUUGGUCAUGUCCUUUGGGUUGACUAAUGCCCCUGAUGCGUUCAUGGAGUUAAUGAAUCGGGUGUUUCAACUAUAUCUCGACUCCUUUGUUAUUAUGUUUAUAGAUGAUAUCUUAGUUUAAUCCAAGAGUGAGGUUGAGCAUGAAAAACAUUUGCAGAUUGUGCUUCAGAGAUUGAGGGGUGAGGAGUUGUAUGUUAAGUUCCCUAAGUGUGAGUUUUGGUUGGAGUCUGUGUCUUUCUUGGGUCAUGUGGUGACUAAGGAAGGUAUCAUGGUUGAUCCAGCCAAGGUUGCAGUAGUUCCCGAUUGGGCUAGACCUACUUCGCCCACCGAGAUUCGGAGUUUUGAUGGAUUGGUCGGGUAUUAUCGGCGUUUUAUCGAGGGUUUCUCUUUGAUUGUAGCUCCUUUGACUAAGUUGACUCAGAAUAAGAUUUUCUUCCAGUAGUCUGAUGCUUAUGAGGCGAGCUUUCAAAGGUUCAAGGAUUUGUUAACUUCAGCUCUUAUAUUGGCUUUGCCCUAGGAGGGCGUGGGCUUUACCGUAUUUUGUGAUGCUUCUGGUGUUGGAUUGGGUGUUGUGUUGAUGCUGGAAGGCAAGGUGAUUGCGUAUGCAUCUCGUCAGUUGAAGCCACUUGAGAGGAAUUAUCCUAUCUAUGAUUUGGAGUUAUGCGCAGUUGUGUUUGCCUUGUAGUUAUGGAGGCACUACUUAUAUGGAGUCCGUUGUGAGAUCUUCUCAGAUCAUCAUAGCCUUCAGUACUAUUUUACUCAGCGAGAUCUUAAUAUGAGACAGAGCCAUUGGCUUGAGUUGCUUAAGGAUUAUAACUUGAUUAUUCUUUAUCUUUCGGGCAAGGCUAAUGUGGUUGCGGAUGCCUUGAACCAAAAGUCGACUAGCAUGGGUAGUUUGGUGCAUAUUUUGACAUAAGAUGGGCCUUUGGCUUUAGAGGUUCAGUCUUUAUCUAACCAGAUAGUUAGGCUUGAUAUUUCAACACCUGGGCAUGUUUUUGCAUUUGUGGAUGCUAGAUAUUCUUUGAUGGAACAGAUUCGAGUUCAUCAGUUUGAUGAUGUUGGAUUAAGGUCGAUUUGAGAUAAGGUAUUGGGUGGGAAUGCUAAGGAAUCCUUACUUGACUCAGAUUGAAUUUUGUGGAUUAGAGGUCGAGUUUGUAUGCCGAGAGUGGCUGACUGGAUUAGAUUGAUCUUGAAGGAGGCCCAUUGUUCCAGAUAUUCCAUCUAUCCAAGUGUGACUAGGAUGUAUCGUGAUUUGAGACAACAAUGCUGGUGGGGUGGUAUAAGGAGAGAUAUAGCAGAUUUUAUGGCUCAUUAACUUUGUUAUCAGUAGGUGAAAGUCGAGCAUAUAAGAUGUGGUGGUUUGCUUCAGAGGUUACCCGUUCUUGAGUGAAAGUGGGAACACAUCACCAUAGACUUUGUGACUGGUUUGCCUCGUACAUCUCAUGGUUCUGACAGUGUUGGGUUAUCAUGGAUCGAUUGACCAAGUCAUCUCAUUUUAUUCUGAUUCAGGUCUCAUUUUGUGUAAGAGGUUGGCCCAUAUCUACAUUUGUAAGAUUGUGUGUCUUCAUGGUGUGUCGAUGUCCGUUAUUUCAGAUCAAGGUCCCAUGUUCACAUCUCACUUUUGGAAGACUUUUCAAGAUGAUUUGGGUACUUGGGUUGAUCUUAGCACAGUAUUUCACCUCUAGACUGAUGGAAAAUUAGAGCGGAAUAUUCAGGUUUUGAAGGAUAUGCUUCGCGCAUGCAUGAUGGGUUUUGGUGGCCAAUGGGAGCAGCAUUUGGCUUUAGCAGAGUUUGUAUAUAAUAAUAGCUACCAUUCCAAUAUUGAUAUGACUUCUUUUGAAGCAUUGUAUAGUAGACGUUGUUGAUCCCAAGUGGGUUGGUUUGAUGUUUCAGAGGUGAGACCUCAUGGUAUGGACUUGCUUCGUAGGUCUUUGGAUAGAGUCCGGGUCAUUCCGGAUAGACUUAGAGUGGCUCAGAGUAGGCAGAAGUGUUAUGCUGAUCGUAGACUUCGUACCUUGAGAUUUGGUGUUAGUGAUCAUGUUUGCCUUAGAGUUUCACCCAUCAAGGGUGUCAUGAGGUUUGGGAAGAGGGGCAAGCUUAGCCCCAGGUAUAUUGGUCUAUUUGAGAUUCUUUGGACUGUUGGUGAUGCGGCUUAUGAGUUGGCUUUUCCCCCUGAUCCACCAGCUGUUUAUCUAGUUUUUCAUAUUUUUAUUCUUUGUUGUUACAUUCUGGAUAAGUUUCAUAUUAUUCGUUGGGAGUCGGUUUAGUUAGAUGAGCGGUUGUCCUUUGUUGAGGAGCUAGUCUCCAUUUUGGCUAGGAAUGUUAGGCGGUUGUGCUCUAGAGUGAUCCCUGUGGUUAAGGUCUAAUGGCGACAUCGACCUAUAGAUGAGACUACUUUGGAGGUCGAGUCUGAUAUGCAUAGUUCUUAUCCUCAACUCUUCAUUGAUUCAGGUAUUUCUUUGUCUUAGUUCGAUGAUGAACUACAUUGUUAGUGGUUGAUGAUGUAACUACCUAAAAAUUUGAUAAAAUAUGUAAAAUUUGUAAUUUUAUGUAAUUUGAUUGUUUUACCCCUCCUCAUAGUUGCAUUAUAAUAUUUUUGUGGUGUGGGGUGAUUGGCAUGGUUCUCGAUGCAUUUUGGUACCAUUUAUGUGAUAUUGUAGUUUUGAUGGCUUUGAGAGCCUUAUUUUGGACUUAUAUAGAUAUCUUUUGAUUCGUACGAUGGAUGGCCGAAUAGAGUGCGCCAGCAGCUCCGGAAUAUCGAUUUCAAGCUAGGUAGACAUUUGGUUUGGGUCCUGGUGCACCCGAGCUCAUUUCGACCUAUUGGUCAAAAAGUUAAAAAAUUAGAAAUAUGGGUGUGGGAUCCACAUUUGAUCGAAACGACCUCGGAUGAAAAAUCUGACUUUGCCAACAGAUUCGAAAUGUUGAUUUUAGGGUGUUAGAAUAUUUGGUAUGAUUUUAUGGCUUUUAAAUCUCAUUUUGAUUCUCGAUUUAGAAAAUUGCAAUUUCGGGUUUCGGGAGUCCACUUUUUUAAAAUGAUGUUUUUUUGAAAAUCCGAAUUCGUCAGCGCAUCGAGAACGUCGAAUUUAGUGUGGUUGUAUAGUUUGUUUUCAUAUAUCGAACUCCAAAUGAAUUUUGGGAACCCCGACGAAGUUCGAAUUGACUUUAAAAAAACAGCUUGUCAGCUAUAUCUGUGCAGAAAAAUCUGCAAUAACAGAUAGCAGUUUCGGGCCUAUUUUUGCUCAUUUUUCAUCCUGCCUCUUGAGAUUUAAACCCUAAAAUAGUGUGGUAGCUUAAAAGUGAAGCUCUUGGGAGCUUGGGAAGCUAGAUUAACAUAUAUUUCUUAGCUUUAUUACAGAUUUAACGUAAGAAUUCAUCCUUUUCUUAGUAAUUUCUUGAUUAAUUUCUCAAAAUCCAAAAAUCUUAAGGCUUGAUUUUAAAUCUCAAUUUCACUACUUUACACUUGAAUAAUAUUUUUUAAUCUUAUAAUUACUAUUUUUUUAUCAAUUAACAUUCAAAAUAACUCUGAUUCUUGAUUUUAAUCCGGAUUUCAAAGAUUUUACUGGGUAAAGCUCAAAAAUGGUUUUCCUUCGAUUUGAACCUAGUUUUUUUACUCGAUUUGACUUGGAUUUUAAUCUUUAGGUUCCUAAAAAUAUGGAGAGCAUAUUUUUAAAGUAAAAUUUCGAUUUUGCUUUUCUUUUUCGGAAAACCAUUCCGGGAUCCAUUUUAAACCUGAACCAAAAGUAGUCAAUAUGGGUGUCAUUAUUUUUAUUUUGAUGUGUAGAUUUAAUAUUAGAUAUUUUUAGUGGAGUUUGAGAUCAUUUGUGGAAAGUAAGAUCGUGGACUCGAAGUGUAGCAGACUGAUUUCAGCUUUUGAGGUAGGUUAUGGCUUAACUCUUUCAGACUGGGAUGAAUAGUGAAUGAUGGUACAAAAUGCAUGUUAAGGGUGAGAACUAAUCAUGAAAAAUGAUUAUCUACGUGUUGUGCCCGUGUGGGGGCCUAUAUGUGAUGUAAUUGUCGAAAUUGAUAUAUUAUGUGAUGUAUGUGACUGUGUGGAGUCCUAUGUGAUGUUGAUAGCCCUAAAUACAUGUGAAUAAUUGUACUGUAUUGUUGAAAUGCAUAAGAUGGAACCAUUGGUGUACUGUGACAUAUUCAUACUUAUUGGUAUAUGAGACAUGUGGAAAUUCAUGGAUGAAAUGAAAAUAAUGAGUGGAUAUUGACUCACAUGGUUGUGGAAACGUAUCAUUGUGGUUAGUUGUGGAACUAUAUAAUGUGGUUGGUUGUAGAAAUAAUAUUUGUGGUUGGUUGUGAGCAUUACAUCCUCAUAUCAUACUCAUUCAUUAAACAUUGGUACCAAUUGGUAACACCUGAGUAACACUGCAACACCUUUUUGCCGAGGAGUAGAUACUGUAACACCUUAUUAAACCCCUUUCGAAGAAUAUACUGGAAGGGAGAUAUGAUAUAUAUGGAUUGUAUACGGGUUGAUGAACCCUCCAUGGAUCCUAUGUCGGGAAGCUUUAGCUCCGUAGGUGUAUACAGGGUUUGUGCAGUGAUCCCAAAGGUUGUCCAAUGAUCUCGUGCAUCAUCAUCAUCAUCAUCAUCAUCAUCAUCAUAUACAUUGCACUUACUUUAUUGUGUUUAUGUUGUGUUGUAUGGCCAUAUUGACUUGUUAUCUUUGUAUUUGUCUUACCUUCCUUUUCUUGUAUUCGAUGAUUUUGUAUCUACAUGUUCUCCCUUGGUCUACUUAUAUGUGACAUAAUGUAUACUUAUGUUCUGUAUCUUGGUGUGUUGUUGUAAUAUAUGUGAUAUAUUAGAACUGUUAGAGCACGCGGUGUGGGCUAUCAUUGCGAGAUAUUUUUCUGAUUGCAGGUGAUGUGUCCUCAGUGUGUAUUUUGUAUGCUUUAUUGUCUACUUUGCUCGGUCGGCCUAUGAUACCUACUAAGUACAAAUGGAUCAUACACACCCCUACUUCUCCCUUUCUAUGCAACUUUAGGCUCGGGUGCGCCUCAGAUUGGUUGAUUUCUGGUACCUUCAAAUUUCUUAAGGUAGCGGUUGAACAUUCAUACGUCUGCAGUUCACCUCUAUCUUUCUAUACUAGUUAUGUCUUUAUUAGUGUUUGGAGAUAGAUAUUUUCUUUUUUGGUUAGUUUUCUGAUGUAUUUGACUCUGGAAUUAUAUUAGUAGUUUUUAUACUGUUGACACUAGGUUUUGAUAGUUAUGGUUUCAUGUGUUAUUUUACUCUUUCCGCUUUUAUUAUAUCAUAAUGGUUCGACGUCAUUCUAAAAGCCUUAUCUUGGGGGUAUUUCUAUCUUUUUUUCCUUUGUGUAUCAGUUUAGGUGGUUGUUUUAUGGAAAUUUUGACUUUUUAGAGUCGCCACUUAAUUUAUUUGAAAAGGAAUUAACAAAACCUUUAUAAAGUACUUAAACGAUCCAAAACAGAAAAAUCAUUUAAAUUUGAAGAUUCUGAGUAAGCAGUUCCUAUUGAUACAAUUGGAAGGUUGUUAAGGCACCAAGAGUAUCCACUAACUUACGGUUAUCCAGACUAUUUGAAAAUAUCUUUUGACUAACUUCAAAAAAAUUCAUUGUUGAAAAGUGAUUAAUUUUAGAAAAAGACUUGUAUAAAAUAGUUUUGGACGACUUAGUAGGGAUUUUAACUAAGUCUAAACAAACUAAUAACAAAGCAUGUAAAAUGGAAGGGGGCGAAAAUAAAAGACUUAGGCCGUUGGGCCCAAAUCAAUAGACCAUGUCCUAAUCUAAUUGGACUUUUGGUCCACUUGCACCUGUCCUAAUCUAAACGUUGGGCCUAGGCCCGUAACUUGUCCUAAACUAAUUUUUCAGGCCUGUUGGCCCAAAAGCUGCUCCACCGGUAUUAAUUUAUAAUUUUGGCUUUGAGGACCCGAAUAAAUGAAUAAGUAAAUGCUUAAAUGAAUAAAUAAAAAGAAAACAAUAAUAAAAAUUAAGACUUUUCAAGUCUCUUAGUGACCUCAUCAAUGAAUUUUGACCCAUUUUCCUUCUUCGUCUAUCUUCUAGCACCCGAACGCCAUAUAGUCGACCUUGGGUUUAAUCUUCGAACUUGACUUGAAGAGGUGAGCCUCAUUGGCCCAUUACGAAAUGUAAGAGGAGAUGAGUCAAUUUGAACUAGAGACAUUUUUUGCAUGCAAAGAAAAGAUAAAGAAGUUAAUAUACGUUCAAGGCAUAAAAGUGACAUAUUUCAAAGCAAAAGAAACUAUCAAGGACCAAUUUUUGAAGGACAAUGAUAAGCGCACUUGCACAAGAAUGAGAGUCAACAAAUAAAAUGCAAAGCAAAGACACCCACUUACAUGCCUCAUGAUUUAUUUUCUUAUAAGAAUGAAUAAAGGUAAAAGGAAGAAAAUCGUAUUCAAAAAAUUAAUGCGAGAACAAACGACGCAAGUUUGCGAGAGUAAAGGGAUGAGGCGAUAAGAAAAUACUCAUGACUUCUAAAAUUGAACAAACAUAGAAACUAAUUCAUAUAACAAAAGAAAAUAAAGGCUAACUUCUAAAGAAAGUGAAUCUUUAAAUUUCUAUUAAGGAGAAAUUAACGAAGAUUCAUACAUCUAAGUCAUGGCAACUUUAGGGAAAACAUGUAACGACCUAUGAUUUAUCGUUCUAAGACAUCGUUGAUUCUCUUUUGAUAUUAUGACUCAAAGAGAGACAUGAAUCAAGUCUUUACACACACAAAGAACACAUAUAACAAUUCAAAGGGAGUAAGAAAAUUAGAAUAAAAGUUUAGCAUCUCUAAAAGUGAAAUAUCGUUCAACAAUCAUACUAUGCAUGACUCGAGAAUAUCUAAAUAAUUUUAUUUAGCCAUAAAAAUUCUAACUUUCUCAUCAUUUUGACAAAUUAACAACAUGCAAAAAAAAAGAAAAAGAAAAGAAAUAAACAUCUUGGAUGGAAAAUAAAGCUAGUACUCAUCACUUAUAUGAGGAUUUUGAAAUCCAUUAAAAUAAUUAGCAAGCAAAUGACAAAUUCUUGACUUAAUCAAUUACUAUUUUUAUUAAGGCGAAACAAACAAUAGUAACGAUUUUUCCAACAUAAAAGAAACAACUUUACAUGCUAAUAACAAGCAUAUCCACUAAUAAUGAAUUUAAACAUGGCUUGAAUACGUCUUUUGAGCAGAGAUCAAAACUUUAUACAUAACAAUCAAAGAAUAAAGUCAAAAGGUAAAACAAUUAAUAUUAACUAUUCUUUUCAACAUAAAGAAAAUAACUUUACAUGCUAAAAACAAACAUAUCUACCAACAAUGAGUUUAAACAAGACAUGGGUAUGUUUUCAGGCAAAGGUCUAAACUUUAUCCAAAAUAAUCAAAGAUUAAGAUCAAAAGGCAAAAUAAUCAAUAUUAACUAUUUUUUUCAACAUCAAGAAAAUAACUUUAGAUGCUAAAAACAAACAUAUCUACCAACAAUGAGUUUAAACAAGACAUGAGUAUGUUUUUCUAGCAAAGAUCUAAACUUUAUCCAAAAUAAUCAAAGAAGGUCAAAAGGCAAAACAAUCAAUAUUAACUAUUAUUUUCAGCAUAAAUAAAAUAACUUUACAUGCUAAAAAUAAAAAUAUCCACCAACAAUGAGUUUAAACAAAGCAUAAGUACAUCUCUUAAGCAAAGAUUGAAACUUUAUCUAUAAUAAUCAAAGAAUAAAGUAAAAAAAAGGCACGUACAACUAUUGCUAGCUUAUUUUUAUAUCUUGAACAUGAAAAUAAUUAAAAUAUCGAUACCACAAAGUCAUAUGGCCUUCAAGGCCAUCUACAACAGACAACUCCAGCAAAUAAAUUAUAAUUACGAAUUACGAAGAAGAAAAAGAUGAUGUAGAAAAUCAUAAUAAAACUAAAACAAAAAGAAAAUAUUUGUUUACCUUUUUUGGGACAGCAAAACGAGACUACGAGCUUCGUCGGAAUAAACCACCACCGAAAAACAUCGCCGGCAACUCAAAAAUUAUGAUUAGCCGACCAACUCUAUGAAACAAAAAUUUUUACUAAAUGAAAAUAACUAUGUUGCUCAAAUUUUUUUUUUAUACCUUUCUAGCCCUUUUUUUUUUAACUUUUCCACCAUCCUUUCUACCAAAGUAGUGAUAGUACUUAUAGGAGAGAAUGAAGUUUUAUUUUAUUUUCUCCAUCAAUGUGGGAGAAAAGUAUUUAUAGGAAAGGAUGAAGAUUUAUUCCUUGUCAUCCACCAAUGUAGGAGAAAAGCCAUUUAAGGGUACUUUUGGAAUUUAAAAAUUGAAGAUAAGGUGAGGUGAAAGAUAAUAUGGGAGGAAAUUGUACAAUGUAGUAUAAUUUUUGAAUUUUAAAAUUGGGAAAGGACAAAGUUGGGGAAAAAUAGUACAAUGUAGUACAAUUUAAAAUUAUUUUUUGGUGGGAAUUGGAUAGAAGUUAUGUGAGUUUUGGGAAAUUUUGGGGUUAUUUAAACUAUAACCCCAAUUAAAAUUUAAAAUUUAGCCAUAUUCAUUUAAUUUUGACCAAAUUAAAAAUCAAUUGACGGAUUGCAUUGCAAUUAUGACCAAUUUGAUUUCAAUUAUGGUCAAAUCUAAUAGAUUGACUAAAUUAAAUUGAAAUUCGAUACGAAUUAAUAGUUCUUUUAAUCCCGAGCUUCUUGAUCUAAUAAAAUCAAACACAUAUUCAUCCAAAUAAAUUAUUUUUGAGAAUAAAUUAUAUUUAAAUUAAUAUUUUAAUUCUUUAAAUUUAUUUCAAGACAAACCUUGAUUAAAAUCCGAUAUUUUAUAAAAAUGGAUAUUUAAGUAAAAAAUUAUUUAAUUUCGUAUAAUUGAAUAUGUUAAUAUAUAAUCGCUAUUAAAAUGACAAACUUACCUAGAUAAAUAUUUUGAAAAGCUUUUUAUCCGGAUAAAAUAAAUAUUUUAAUUUUAUUUAAAAAAUCAAAGAAACUUGUAAUCAAACUUAGUUAUGGAGGGCAAAAAUUAGGUGUCAACAACUGCCCCCUCCUUUUGGGUAGGGUGAAUGCAAGUAACCCUGGGCAAAGGGAGGUUGAUGUUCCUAAUUUUUGUCCGACCAAUAAAUUCGAAUUUGAAAAAGUUUGGUUUCGCACGAGUUUCAGAGUUAUGGCUAGACCUCGGUAUCAAGUUUCCCAUAUAUAUCAGGUUACAUGAGAAUUCAGGCUAUUUGUAGUUCAUAAAGCUUGAUUUAAAGCACAGUUUUUAAAAGUUCACAAGCUAUGUUGGUUUUAGAUUUGUUUAUGAAACCAAAAAGCUAAAGAAUAAAGGGAUUUGGGGGGAGGUUGGAAUGCAGUCGAAUUUUCUAUAUAGAUCCAAUCCUACAUAUCCCCAAGAUUUCAGAAAAUCAGAUUGCUUGUAGUUCGACUCAAUCGGUAUAAAAAAUGGUCUUUUAUUUCAGACGAUUUUUGGCUCUAGAUGAGUGAAAAGUUGAUUGAGUUGCAGAAAAGAGGCUUGAAACCUCUUAACCAUGAAUGUGGAGUACUUCACAUCCAUAGGUAAGAAUUUAACUGGACAUAAUUUCUAAAACUCUAGGUGUGUUGUCACUCGAAUUUGAAAGAAGAGAAGAUUACCUUCCAGUAUGAGUUUAUAAAUAUCCCAAAGGUAAAGCUGAAAUAAAAAUAUCCCAAAGUACCCACAUGCCUUCUAACAGGGGUAUGGUUUGAUUGGUAGUGGCGAUGAUCCUUCAGCUCGCGUCCAAAGAGUUUUACGUUCCUCUCUAGAUUAUGUCCCAUUUUGCUGCUAGGAAAGAGUUCCACGUUUUGCUGCGUCCUAUCUAGAGUCGUCCGCACCUGUGGUUCUGAUUUGAGAUUUUCAUCCUCUUGGAUGCUCCCGACAAUGUUUCAAGCAAAAGUGUCUGUACUAAACAUAAUUCAUGAAAGAGGUAUGUUGUCUUUUACCAUAUAUCCACGUGGGUUGUCGCCUGAAAAAAGAAGUCAUCCUUUCGUGUACCUGUUUGGAAGGAAAUAACUUGCAAAACAAGACACAACAAACCUCUUGGUUGUUGCAUAAUUAUCUUAUUUGUUGGUUGAAUAUGUCUUUAAAGUAGGGUGGCCCUCUCGAACACCGAUAAUACUUUAUGCAGAAUGGUCCCUGCAAUCGUGUAAUCUUACGUUGAUGUAGAAACCCUUUUGGUCACUUAUAAUGAUGGUUGUAUGUGGAAUGAUAACCUCUCCGAUUUCAGACAACGAUUCCUUACAUAUGACAUCAGGUAAGUCUUGCGCAUCUUUUGUAUCUAUACGACUAAUAGAUUCUCCUUAAAUUAUCAAUCUUUACAUAAUCUCGUGCAUUAUUUGAUGUUGGAUACGAGGCAACUUAUAGAUAUCUUUUGAAUUGCUAGCUUCUAGGUGAUCCUGGACAUUAUCUGACCUUGGAUAAUAGAUGGCUUAUAGAUAUCCCUCCAAUCGCUAGCCCUCAGGUAUUCCUGUACAUCAUCCGACCUUGGAUACAAUAGACUUAUAGAUAUCUCUAAAAUUACUAGUCAUUGGGUAAACCUACACAUAAUCGAUCUUGGAUAUGAUGCAGCUUAUAGAGAACCCUUGGACGUAUCAAUUUGAUAAUCUUGCAUAUUCUCCAGUAAGGAUUUAGUUGUGACUUAUGGAUGACCUUUAAACUAUCGAUCUUAGGGUAACCUUGCACACUAUCCAUUUAGGAUGUCGUUGUAGCUUACGGAUGACCUAUGGACUAUCAACUAAUAGGAAAUCUUGCACACUAUCCUAUUUCAAAUAACAUGACUUAUAGAUGACCCUAGGAUUGUCAAUUUCUACGAAGUCUCAUAUGUCGUUAGCUUUCAGAUAGCGACUUAAAGACGUCCCUUUGAAUCAUAUAUUUUUGAUUCAUUCAGAUGUUGAUUCAUAAAAUAAUGAGAUAUCCUCGAUGCCAGCAUAUGCUAUCUCGCAUGUCAAUAGAUAUUAGAUACCGAUGAUAUCCUCGACGCCAGCGUACGCUAUCUCGCGUGUCAACAGAUAUUAACUAUUGGUGAUAUCCUCGACGCUAGUGUAUGCUAUCUCGCGUGUCAAUAGAUAUUAAAUUUUGAUGAUAUCCUCGACGCCAGCCUAUGCUAUCUCACGUGUCAACAGAUAUUAAAUAUUGAUGAUACCCUCGACGCCAGCAUAUACUAUCUCACGUGUCAACAGAUAUUAAAUGUUGUUGAUAUCCUCGAUGCCAGCGUAUGCUAUCUCGCGUGUCAAUGGAUAUUAAAUAUUACUGAUAUCUUUGACCAACGUAUGCUAUCUUGCGUGUCAUCAUAUAUUUAAUGCGGGUGAUAUCCUCGGCGCCAACGUAUUCUAUCUCGUGUGUCAUCAGAUAUUUAAUGCUGAUGAUAUAAUCGAUGUCGGCGUAUGCUAUCUCCGUGUCAUUAGAUAUUUAAUGUGGAUGAUAUCCUCGAUCCCAGCGUAUGCUAUCUCACGUGUCAUCAGAUAUUUAAUGGAGAUGAUAUCCUCAACGCCAGCGUAUACUAUCUCGUGUGUCAUCAGAUAUUUAAUGCGGAUAAUAUUGUCGACGCCAGUAUAUGCCAUCUUGUGUGUCAACAGAUAUUAAAUAUUUAUGAUAUCCUCGACGCCAGCGUAUGCUAUCUCACGUGUCAACAGAUAUAAAAUCUUGCUGAUAUCCUCGACGCCGGUGUAUGCUAUCUCAUGUGUCAAUAGAUAUUAAAUGCUGAUGAUAUCCUUGAUGCCAGCGUAUGCUAUCUCGCGUGUCAUCAGAUAUUAAAUGUUAUGGCCCUCUUGGCGAUGAAAAUGAUAUGCAAUGGACCUCUUGGCAAUGGAAUGAGAUGAAAUAGCCCUCUAGGUAAUGAAGAUGAUUUUGCCUGAAUCCGUUUGUCUACUUUUUUGCUUGAUAGAUGUACUUGUACUCAAGGUAGAUAGUUUGUAGACACAAUGUCGCUUUUGCUUGCGACUAUUUUUAGAACAAUUCUAAAUACAAUAUUUAUAAAGAAGAUAAGGCGUCUUUGUUUGUCCUUCAUGGUCUCAAGAAAUGAAAUAGACAAUUCAAAAGGUCUUUGAUAAAUGCGUAUUAACCCGUCUUUAGGGCUACCCGAAAAUACCAUUCUUGAGCAUUAUAUUUUCUGGUAUGGCUCCCAACUUACCCGGGGAUUUUUCAAAAAAGUCUCUCAUUUUUGUGUAUUGAUCCCUGCAUCCACAGAAAAAUAAUUAGUUUUGAGUGAAACUACUCCAUGUUGACCUCCUUCGCUCCUCAGUUUGAUCCUCACCAUCUUUCAGGUGCUCCAUCAUGUUGGUACCUCCACCCUGACUCCCUGUUCCAAUAGACGCUUAGGCAAUCACUAAGUAAAAGAUUUGUAUAGAUUUUUAAAAGUAGUCUUAAUUUUAGAAAAUAGUUUCGAAAGUUUCUGUAAAAGCUUUUAAAAAUAUCUGCCAGUCAUGUCAUGUACUGGCUCAAUGAACGUCUUUCUCUUAGUUUUGACUAUAUCCAAUGGAGGAUUUUCAAAAUUCAUCAUCAUUGUAGGAGGUUUCUUUAAACAGUUCUAUCAUAGUUGGAGAUUGAGUCUACCUAGACUUUGUCGCAGCUGGUGACUUCAAAAGUUUGACUUUGACCUCUGGUGCUGGGGAGUUUAAAAUAUAUUCCAGUGUUUGGUGGAAAUUUUGAGGCCUUCCUCAAAAUUUUCUCCCCCAUUUUAAAGCUUUUUGAUAUGAUAUCAACUCGAGAGGAUCUGAAGUCGUUGUUGGUCUUCGUUAUCUUUGUUAGAUGAUGAUCUUCCUCUUGUGAAUUUUUGAGAUUCCUUCUCGAAAAUUCUGCCCCAGUUUUCAUUUUCUGGGGUUACAUAACUGAGCCAUUGGGGCGCCUACGUAUCCUGUUGAAGCAGGAAUCAGGUCAAACGUAGUUUAGGACUACACUAAGGAUAUAUAGAAAAAUAUAAUAGGUUGAACGAAGCCGACAUAGGCCGAUUAUAUAUCCCUUUUUUGGGAAUUCAGGUCAUCACGUAGUUCAUACAUGAAAGAAAAGGGUAAAUUUUCCUAAAGGAUUGACCGAAGCCGACAUAGGCCGCCUACGUAUCCCUUUCUUGGGAAUUUAGGUCAAAUGUAGUUCGUACAUGAGGAAAGGGAUUCUAGGCAAUUACACAUCAUAAAACAAAUACUAUCAUAAAGACUAUUACAAAUAAGCCCGGGAAAUAAAAACUAAAACAUCUUUUAAACAUAGUAUCUCUUUACAGCAUCAGAAUUGAUUGGUUUGAUCUAAUCUUGACCAUCCAUCUCAGGUAGGAUUAGGGCUCCUCUAGGUUGGGCUUCUUUUGGUUUUCAAAUUCCUUAUAUCUUUCACUAACUUCUCCUCAUCACCUUUUUUUCGUUCAUUAUCAUUCUCUUCGCUUUGUUCGUCUAACCCUUUUCAUGACAUGACAUUGACAAAUUUUUAAAUUAUUGCUACCAAAAUAAACCAUGUUAGAUGAUGAAAAGAUAAUACUCCCUCCGUUUAAAAAGGAAUGACCUACUUUUCUUUUUAGUCUGUUUAAAAAAGAAUGACCCCUUUCCUUUUUUGGCAAUACUUUAAUUUCUACUUUUCACAUGGUAUAUUUAGGAUCACAAAAUUAAAGAAAAUUUUUAUACAUUUGACACAGCUUUAAUUUAAGGCUACAAGAUUCAAAAGUCUUCUUUAUUUUCUUAAACUUUGUGCCAAGUCAAAGUUGGUCAUUCUUUUUUAAACGGAGGGAGUAAAAGAUAAUGAUAUAAUCAUAUUUCAAAAUAACUUCUUAAAUAAAAGGAGGUCUUUUCAUUGAAAUUUAGGAAAUAAGUACGAACUAUGGCUCAUGACCCGCAUAAAUACGGCCCCAUGCCUUUUUGAAAGCAGCAAAACACGAAAAGGAAGUUUGAGACAUAAAAGGGUGGAUCACGGGGCCUCCUUCGGAUCAUCACCAAUUUUUUAUAACUACUAGUAAUUGCCUUUUCAUCUACCAUGACGGGCGACGGGUUAUGAGUAGAGUGGAGGUCCAGUUUUGUAAAGUCUCUCCUGGUGCAACCUUUCUCACCCCAUCAGACUUUGGUAAAUCAUUGUAUCCCUCAAAUGGAUUUCUUAUCCCAUCCCUAAGACCAUCAUCUUUUAACAUCUCACGCAAAGGAAAUGACUGGUACAUGAGUGGCAAUGGUUUAGACAGACUCGUCUUUGACUUAUCUUUAAUCUCAUCUUUCUUUCUUGGUUGGUAUCCUAAUCCAUACUUAGAUGUUUUUUUUGGGACCAUAAUGGGCUCAAUAAUUCCUUCUAAAUUCUCACCCAAGAUACUUUAGAUAGCCACAGCUUUCUCUAUCCUUUCUACUCCUUUUGUCUUUUUGGAAUUUUACGAAUCCACCUUAGUAAUAAUCUUGCUUGAUACCCAUUCAUCUGCUAUUUCGAUCAUGCUAAUCGUGGCUCCCCCAUUAUUAGGCAUUGGAUUACUAGUGACAUUUGGUGUCGGUGCCUGAAGAGUGAUGAUCUUCUAAUCAAUCAAGUCUUGGAUCUUGUGUUUUAAAUUGAUGCAAUUUUCAGUAUUAUGCCCGGUUGCUCCUGAAUGAUAAGCACAGACUUGAUCGGCCUGCAAGAAUUAGGAAUUGAUAUUAGUAGGCUUUGGUAGAAUAGGCUAUAAAUAACCAGCUUUCAUCAAUCUUUCAAAGAUUUUGGUACGACUUUCAGCCAAUAGAGUAAAUUUUCUAGGAGGCCUCUUUUCGAGGUUUACAUGUGGAGGGUUAUACUGAUUUUGAUUAGAGGGAUGAGGUACUUGAUAAUAGUUAAGAGGCGCUUGGUUGAUUAUUUGGUUGUUUGGAAGAGUGGCUUGAACAUGAGACUGAUAAUUUGGCUGCGGACCUUGGCACUAGGGUAAAAUAUUUAGAAGUGGAGUUUGAUACUGGGGUUGGGCAUAGAAUACAAGCUGAAAACUUGGUGACGGUGGUGAGGAAAGAAUAUUCGUAGGCUUGAAUUUCUUCUUCAACUUAGCAAUAGAAUCAGUAGAGACCGCACCUACAUCUUUCUUUUUCUUCUUUGGGAACAUAAAAGUCCCAGACGGUGUUGGGGUUUUGACAAACUUUCCUGUUCGAAUGCCUUCCUCUAGCGAUCCCCCGAUUUUUACUAAAUCUACAAAAAAUUCCUUAAUCGUGGAUACCAUCCUAGUGUAAAAUUCUCCCUCCUGAGCAUGAGAGAAAAUUGAUACCAUUUUCUCCUCAGACAUGGGAGGUUGUACUUUGGCAGCUUCCUUCCUCCAACAAAAAGCAUAGUCUCGAAAACACUCACCAUUCUUCUGCUUAAUCCGGUCUAGUGAGUAUCGGUGAGGAACUAUCUCAACGUUAAAUGCAAAUCUAUCGAGAAAACUUUUAGCCAACGCCUUCCAACUAGACCAUCUUUUCAGUUCUUGAUAUGUGAAUCACUAUAAGGCUUCGCCCUUAAGCUUCAGAUGAAUAAAUGCAUUAAUAAUGUCUCAUUUCUUCCUACCCUAAUCAUUUGAUCACAAUACUUUCUCAGAUGGGCCAUUGGAUUUUUGGUACCGUCGAACACCUUAAAUUUAGGAACCUUGUACCCUUCUGGUAGAUCUACUUCGGGGUGCACACACAGAUUAUCAUACCCCAAGGUAUCCUUAUUACCUGCCCUGUGAGAUUCCUUGAUCCUCAUGAUCUCUUCAUUCAUGGCUAGCAACUUUUUUUCAUGCUCGGUCCUCCACUUUAUUUCUUUUUUCUCGUAAUGGUCUACCUAGGGAUUGGGAAUGGGAUUGUAGAUGUCAGGGGAUACGAUGAAUUAAUAAGGAUUUAGAACGAUAGCUUGAUUUUGAGAAUGAAAGGAGGUUGGGUGGUAGGAAGGGAGGAAGUUUAGGAAAUUGAUAGCGUUUUGUGGAAUUUAAGAAGAGUUUAGUGGAAUCUGAGAUAGAGUGGAUUUAGAACCGAGUUUUGUAACUUUUGAGAUGGAUUUUAUUGAUUUGAGAGUGUAUUUUAUGGAUUUGGAGAUGAAUUUUGUGGGGUUAGGGAUGGAUUUCGGGGAUGGUGAGCAUCUAGGUUAUUUUAUCAUUUGGUGUUUUGGACAAGUUGAGGAACAGAGAUGGAUGAUAUAUUAUUUGGAGGGUCCUCGAGAACAGGUGUACUGAUGGGGGAUUUGGAGUGAAGUCCCAUGUCCUCCUGGAGUGGGAGCGUUGAAAGUGAUGUCCAAGCUAGCCAAAUCUCGAGUAUGAUUCAUCUCCUUCUAAAGCAUUUCUAAUUUUCCCGCAAGUUCAUCAAUCAUCUCGCUUUGUUUCGCUAUUACAUUGUCUCUGAUGAUCUACAUAUUCUCUUUGUCGCUUCCAGUCAUAUUUGAAUGAUGGUCAGAGGAUGGGAUUUUAUGAACUUUUGACCGGGUGAAGUAAUGAUGUUCUGCCAGUUUAUUUUAACACGGAGCAGUGUUUCAUUAUCUGUAAAGAAAAAUAACUCAAAGAAAGAUGUAUUAGUUCCCAUAUGUGAUAAAUAAUACAAGAUAUUUGACAAAAAGUAACCACAUAGAGUUAUUUUCCUCAUAGGCAAACUGAUCUACGAGAGCAUAGUGGAUAAAUUUGUCUUUGAUGCACAUAAACACAUAAGGCAGUUAUAUCACAUAAUAAACACAUAUCCUAGUUGGGUGACCCUUUUAAGCCAAGGGUUGGCCUAACGCAUUUGAAAGAAGUAUAUGCUUUUUAAACCAAUCCAUUAUCCCUCAAAAAUCUUCAUAGGUGUACAUAAGUGGCAUAAAUGCCUACAAAAGUUGCACAGAAAGGGAUACAAUCUAUAGGGAAAGGGGAAAAACAACAUGAGAAAAAGAAUAAUGUCCUGCGCAAGGGAUAGGAAAUAUUAAUUCCUGAAUUGGUAUAUGAUUGAGGCAUCCUUACAUGAAAGCAAGCAAAGCAGGCCUUCUUCUGACCCCCAAAGGAUAAUGGAUUAGAUUAAACAAACAUAUAUUUCUUCAACACAUAAAUAUGAUUCUUCAGUAAUUGACUCGGGGUCAAUAGACACAAGGCAAGUUUUAUAAUGGGCCCAUUACACCCUUCGAAUAUUGGUUCGUCGUAGACUUAUGCCUAAAAGAGUUUUGGUUUAGCUCUAUCCUGGGUGUCCAGAGUAUGGACACAGGUUUUCAAGCGGACAACUUGAGUUUGGAAACACGAAUGGCCUUUGACCGCCUAACAUGCCAAUAAACUGUCUUAUUUCCAAUAUUCAAUUUGGAGUUGAACAAUAGGGGAUAGGAUAUCCUCGUAAUGCCAAAAUAAUUUAAUAAUCAAUGCAGGACCAUGCUAUGAAAUGCAAUAAUUAGAUCCCACAAAAUCGAAACACAUAAAUAUGUAAGCAAUUUAAACAGUUUAGUCAAAAGAUGAGAUCAAACAUUUGGUUAGAACCUAGUUCAAAUCCCCAACAGAGUCGUCAUUUCUGUUUUGCGAAAAUUUUGACUUUUUAGAGUCGCCACUUAAUUUAUUUGAAAAGGAAUUAACAAAACCUUUAUAAAGUACUUAAACAAUCCAAAAAAGAAAAAUCAUUUAAAUUUGAAGAUUCUGAGUAAGCGAUUCCUAUUGAUACUCUUGAAAGGUUGUUAAGGCACCAUGAGUAUCCGCUAACUUGCGGUUAUUCGGAUUGUUUGAAAAUAUCUUUUUACUAACUUCAAAAAGAUUGAUUGUUGAAAAGUGAUUGAUUUUAGGAAAAGACUUGUAUAAAAUAGUUUUGAACGACUUAGUAGGGAUUUUAACUAAGUCUAAACAAACUAAUAACAAAGCAUGUAAAAGGAGAGAGAGAGAGAAAUAAAAUCCCAAAUCAAUAGACCCUGCCCUAAUUUAAUUGAGAUUUUGGCCCACUUUCACCUGUUCUAAUCUAAAUGUUGGGCCUUGGCCCGUAACCCGUCUUAAACUAAUUUUUCAGGCUUGUUGGCCCAAAAUCUGCUCCACCUGUAUUAAUUUAUAAUUUUGGCUUUGAGGCCCCGAAUAAAUGAAUAAGUAAAUGAUUAAAUGAAUAAACAAAAAGAAGACAAUAAUAAAAAUUAAGACUUUUCAAGUCUCUUAGUGACCUCAUCAAUGAAUUUUGACCCAUUUUCCUUCUUCGUCUAUCUUCUAGCACCCGCAUGCCAUAUAGUUGAUCGUGGGUUUAAUCUUCAAACUUGACUCGAAGAGGUGGGCCUCAUUGGCCCAUUAUGAAAUGCAAGAGGAGAGGAGUCCAUUUGGACUCGAGACAUUUUUUGCAUGCAAAGAAAAUAUAAAGAAAUUAAUAUACGUUCAAGGCAUAAAAGUGACAUAUUUCAAAGAAAAAGAAACUAUCAAGAACCAUUUUUUUGAAUGACAAUGAUAAGCACACUUACACAAGAAUGAGAGUCAACAAAUAAAAUGCAAAACAAAGACACCCACUUACAUGCCUCAUGAUUUAUGUUCAUAUAAUAAUGAAUAAAGGUAAAAGAAAGAAGACCAAAUUCAAUGAAUUAAUGCGAGAACAAACAACGCAAGUUUGCGAGAGUAAAGGGAUGAGGCGAUAAGAAAAAUACCCCUGACUUCUAAAAUUGAACAAACAUAGAAACUAAUUCAUAUAACAAAAGAAAAUAAAGGCUAACUUAUCAAGAAAGUGAAUCUUUAAAUUUCAAUUGAGGAGAAAUCAACGAAGAUUUAUACAUCUAAGUCAUGGCCAACUUUAGGGAAAACAUGUAAUGACCUAUGAUUUAUCGUUCUAAGACAUCGUUGAUUCUCUUUUGACAUUAUAACUCAAAGAGAGACAUGAAUCAAGUCUUUACACACAUAAAGAACAAGUAUAACAAUCCAAAGGGAGUAAAAAAUUUAGAAUAAAAGUUUAGCAUCUCUAAAAAUGAAAUAUCAUUCAACAAUCAUACUUUACAUGACUCGAGAAUAUCUAAAUAAUUCUAUUUAGCCAAAAAAUUCAAAAUUUCUCAUCAUUUUGACAAAUUAACAACAUGCGAAAAAAGAAAAAAAAGGAAUAAACAUCUUGGAUGGAAAGUAAAGCUAGUACUCAUCUCUUAUAUAAUGAUUUUAAAAUCCAUUAAAAUAAUUAGCAGACAAAUGACAAAUUCUUGACUUAAUCAAUUAUUAUUUUUAUUAAGGUGAAACAAACAAUACUAACUAUUUUUCCAACAUAAAAGAAACAACUUUACAUGCUAAUAACAACAUAUCUACUAAUAAUGAAUUUAAACAUGACAUGAAUACGUCUUUUGAGCAAAGAUCAAAACUUUAUACAUAACAAUCAAAGAAUAAAGUCAAAAGGUAAAACAAUCAAUAUUAACUAUUCUUUUCAACAUAAAGAAAAUAACUUUACAUGCUAAAAACAAAAAUAUCUACCAACAAUGAAUUUAAACAAGACAAUGGUAUGUUUUCAAGUAAAGAUCUAAACUUUAUCCAAAAUAAUCAAAGAAUAAGGUCAAAAGGCAAAACAACAAUAAUAACUAUUUUUUUCAACAUCAAGAAAAUAACUUUAGAUGCUAAAAACAAACAUAUAUACCAACAAUGAGUUUAAACAAAAUAUGAGUAUAUUUUUCAAGCAAAGAUCUAAAUUUUAUCCAAAAUAAUCAAAGAAUAAGGUCAAAAGGCAAAACAAUCAAUAUUAACUAUUUUUUUCAACAUAAAGAAAAUAACUUUACAUGCUAAAAAUAAACAUAUCCACUAACAAUGAGUUAAACAAAGCAUAAGUACAUCUUUUAAGCAAAAAUUGAAAUUUUAUGUAUAAUAAUCAAAGAAUAAAGUCCAAAGAGGCACGUACAACUAUUGCUAGCUCAUUUUUAUAUCAUGAACAUGAAAAUAAUUAAAAUAUCGAUACAACAAUGUCAUAUUGCCUUCAAGGCCAUCUACAGCAGACAAUCCCAGCAAACAAAAUUAUAACUACGAACUACGAAGAAGAAAAAGAUGAAGAAGAAAACCAUAAUAAAACUAAGAAAAAAAAAGGAAAGUUGUGUUUACUUUUUUGGGGGCAGCAAAAUCAGACUACAAGCUUCGUCGAAAUAACGACCACGAAAAAUUCGCCGGCAACUCAAAAAUUUUGAUUAGUCGACCAACUCUAUAAAACAAAAAUUUUUACUAAAUAAAAAUAAAUAUUUUGCUCAAAAGUAUUUUUUUCUACCUUUCUAGCCUCUUUUUUUGUACUUUUCUACCACCCUUUCUACCAUAGUAGUGGUAGUAUUUAUAGGAGAGAAUGAGGUUUUAUUUUCUUUUCUCCACCAAUGUGGGAGAAAAAUAUUUAUAGGAAAGGAUGAGAAUUUAUUUCUUGUCAUCCACCAAUGUGGGAGAAAAGUCAUUUAUUUCUUAAACCUUGUUCCUACAUGACCUGAUCAAUUCGAUCAGGCACUCGCCAUCUAUUUUCAUUGUUCAAAUCUUUGACAACAUGAAAAAACCAAACGCUCUACCCCCCUCUCUAUCUAUCCAAGGGAUGGAAGGGCAGAGGCCUUUGGUGUCCCCUCCAGUCAAGAAUUGGGGCCUCACAAUCACUAGCCAAUAUGCUUUUCUCUCAUGCCUUUCUUAGUUCAUGGUUCGAUAUCUGGUGUCCUAGGCGUAGAGGAACCACACCAAUCCAUCCCGAACUUGGUGGUUAAACUCUACUGCAGUGAUGAUACUGUAGGGGAGGUCCUACGGAUGUUUAUGGAAUUCAAAAAUUAAAGAUAAGGUGAGGUGAAAAAUAAUGUGGAGGAAAAUUCUACAAUGUAGUACAAUUUUUGAAUUUCAAAAUUGGGAAAGGACAAAGUUGGGGGGAAAUAGUACAAUGUAGUACAAUUUAAAAUUAUUUUUUUGGUGGAAGUUGGUAGAACUUAUGAGAAUUUUUGGGAAUUUUGGGGUUGUUUAAAAUAUAACCCCAAUUGAAAAUUUUAAUUUAGCCAUAUUCAUUUAAUUUUGACCAAAUUAAAAAUUAAUUGACGGAUUGCAUUGCAAUUAUGGCCAAUUUGAUUUCAACUAUGGUCAAAUCUAUUAGAUUGACUAAAUUAAAUUAAAAUUCGAUAUGAAUUAAUAGUUCUUUUAAUCUUGAGCUUCUUGAUUUAAUAAAAUCAAACACAUAUUUAUCCGAAUAAAUUAUUUUUUAGAAUAAAUUAUAUUUAAAUCAAGAUUUUAAUCCUUUAAAUUUAUUUCAAGACAAACCUUGAUUAAAAUAUGGUAUUUUAUAAAAAUAGAUAUUUAAGUAGCAAAAUUAUGUAAUUUCGUAUAAUUGAAUACGAUAAUAUAUAAUUGCUACUUAAAAUAACAAACUUACCCAGAUAAAUAUUUAAAAAAAAAAAUUAUUCGGAUAAAAUAAAUGUUGUAAUUUUAUUAAAAAAAUCGAAGAAACUUGGAAUUAAACUUAGUUAUGGAGGACAAAAAUUAGGUGUCAACAGUGAUAGGCUUACUUUUCAAGGUUCGCCGCGACAAGUGCCAUCACGACCCUUGUUUUUUAUGAGUCGUGACAAAUUUGUAUUAGGGCAGCCAGGUUUCAUUGGUCUCAAUGGUGUAAGAUGUCUAAUAGAGUCUCAUGGAUUGAUACGUAGACGGCUGUAUCUAUCUUUGAGAGGCUAUAGGAUGUCUUUAUAAAACUUACCUUAUUUUUAUUUCUCAUCAUGCGAAGUUCUUUCAUAUCUUAUGUUCUGAGUUAUGUUUCACUCUUUUUGCACAGAUGGUGUUGACUAGGUCCUACGAGAGUAGUGAUGCAGGGCCUUCACCCAGAGGGCGAGCCUCAAGUCGUGGACAGACUCAAGGAAGAGAACGGCCCCGUGGUGCAGCCCCAUCUAGGAAAAGUGCUAGGGGACUCUUCCCUGGGCCUCGUAUUGAGUAGGUCGGAGGUGUGGGUCCUACUCCAAUUUUUCAUAAUUUGUCUUCCCCAGUGUUGGAGGGAUGGUUGGUAAGUUUGUUGACCCUUUUAGAGAGUUCUUCCUUGGUUAUGUUGGGUAUUCCUCCAGUUCGGAGUGUGGAUCCUCUUGUUGCACUUGCUUCUGGUUUGGGUACUCCUUAGACCCCGAGUCCUAUUCCACCUUCUGUACUGAUAUCUGACUAUGGGGUUUCGAGAUCAGAAAUCCAACCGUCAUCUUUGCUACUACUCCAUAUGGGAUCACAGCCUGCUAUAUUUAUUAUGUCUUCUCUCAUGGCUAGAGCAGAGAUGUCUUCUAAGGAUCAAAAGAGGUUUGAGAGGUUUUCUCGAUUGGGUCCUCCCAAAUUUGGUGGCACAGUGGGCAAGGAUGCCUUUGAGUUUUUGAUUGAUUGCUGAGAAAAGUUGCACAAUUUGGGUUUACUCAAGUUUCAUAGAGUUACUUAGACCUCUUAUCAGUUGAGAGAUGCAGAGAAAAAUUAGUGGGGGUCGCUUGUCAGUUUUAGACCCCGUGAUUCUCCCAAGAUGACUUUGGAUUAGGUCACUGAGGAUUUCCUAGAUAGAUUUUUGCCUUUCAAUUUAGAGAUUGUAUGCGGGACGAGUUUGAUCAUUUGAAAAAGGGAUCCUUGAUAGUUGUUGAGUAUGAGGCAUAUUUCUAUGCCUUAUCCAAAUAUUUCUAUGAUAGCAUUUUCACCGAGUCUAAGAAGAUUCAAAAAGUUUGUGAAGGUUUUGGAUGUCUCCCUUCAGUUGGUUACUCUUAGGUAGCUAUGUUUAGGGAUUCUUUCAGAGUAUUAUAGAUCAUCCUAAGAUAACAGAGGAUAUUAUUAGUGCAUCUCAGGGAGGCACCAAAGAGGCACGAUAUUUUGGUGAGUUUAGGAAUCAGACCUCUCGAGGCAGAGAUUUAGAGAUUUUUAUGGAUACCAUGGUAGGCCAGUCCAGGCGCCUUUAUAAAGCUCAAGUGGUGGACCUUUUAGUUAAGCAGUUAAGGGUGGUCGUUCGAGCUCAGUUGUAUUUUUUUUAUUGAGACUGGUCAUAGAAGUUUCUAUGUGUGUGAUGAGAUUUGCAAUGUGGACACGGAUUUUCCCCUCCGAGUAGUUUGGGCUAUUCCAACUGUGAGGGGCAGGAGUGCUACCAAAGGUGCAAGGGGCAUACGUAGUGGAGCUCGAAGGAGUGUUUAUGGAGACACUAAGGUAGUUGGUGGUCGUGGGGUCACCGCGGUAGUCGAAGUUACUGUUAUGUUAUACCAGCCAGGCCUGAGGAAGAGGCUUCUUAUGCUAUGAUUAUAGGUAUCAUCCUCGUGUGUUUCAGACUUGCAUCUGUAUUAUUUGAUCCUGAAUUGACUUUUUUCUAUGUGUCUGUGUAUUUUUCUUUGAUUUUUGAUUCUGUAAGUAAGCCUCUUACUAUGCUUAUUCGUGUAUCAAUCCCGGUAGGUGUUUCUUUAGUAGUGGAUCGAACGCAUCGAUCUAUGUUGUGACUUUUGUAGGGCGUGAGACUUUGGUAGAUCUUCUUGUAUUAGAUAUGGUUGAAUGUUAUUUUGGGUAUGGAUUGGUUGGCUCCCUAUCAGGCCAUCCUAUAUUGUUAUGCCAAGACCAUGACUUUAGCUUCGCCGAUUAUUCCAAGGAUAGCUUGGAAAGGUGCACUUCAUUCGGGUUCUAGGAGUAUUAUAUCUUAUGUUCACGCUCAUAAAUUAGUUGAGAGGGGAUUUUUAUCUUACUCGGCCCAUAUUUGUGACACCAGUGUUGUUUUGCCUCCUUCCUUAGAUUCUAUUUGUAUUGUUCGUAAGUUUAGGGAUGUGUUCCCUACGGACUUAUCAGGUAUGCCUCCAGAUCGAGAUAUUGAUUUCACUAUUGAUGUUGAGCCAGGCACCAAGCCCAUCUCUAUUUCUCCUUAUAUAAUGGCCCCCAGCAGAGUUAAAGGAAUUGAAGGAUCAAUUACAUGAGUUUUUGGAUAAAUGAUUUAUCCGACCUAGUGUUUCGUCUUAGGGUGCGCCAUUCUUGUUUGUGAAAAAAAGAAAGGUCCUAUGUAGAUUUGUAUUGAUUAUCAACAAAUGAAUAAGGUGACGGUUAAGAAUAAGUAUCCUUUUCCUCGCAUUGAUGAUUUAUUUGAUCAGUUUCAGGGUGUAGCAGUGUUUUUAAAGAUCGAUUUGAGGUUCGGUUAUCACUAAUUAAGGAUUAGAGCUUCUGAUAUUCUGAAGAUAGCUUUUCAAACUCGAUAUGGCCAUUAUGAGUUUUUGGUUAUGUCCUUUGGAUUGACCAAUUCCCCUGUUGCAUUUAUGGAGUUGAUGACCCUAGUGUUUUGACCAUAUCUCGACUCUUUUGUUAUUGUGUUUAUAAAUGAUAUCUUAGUUUAUUCCAAGAGUGAGGUUGAGCAUGAGGAGUAUUUGCAGAUUUUUCUUCAGAGAUUGAGGGAUGAGAAGUUGUAUGUUAAGUUCUCUAAGAGCGAGUUUUCGUUGGAGUUUGUGUCUUUCUUAGGUCAUAUGGUGACUAAGAAAGGUAUUAUGAUUGAUCCAACCAAGGUUGCAGUAGUCACGAUUGGGCUAGACCUACUUCCUCCACCGAGAUUCAGAGUUUUAAUGGCUUGGCUAGGUAUUAUCGGCGUUUUAUUGAGGGUUUCACUUUUAUUGUAGCUCCCUUGACUAAGUUGACUCAAAAGAAGAUUUUUUUUUGUGGUUUGAUAUUUGUGAAAUAAACUUCGACUAGCAUGGUAGCUUGGCACAUCUUUUGACCCAAGAAAGGCCUUUGGACUUAAUGGUUCAAUCUUUAGCUAACCAGAUGGUUAGGCUUGAUAUUUCGACAACGGGGCAUGUUUUGGCAUUUGUGGAUGCUAGAUUUUCUUUGAUGAAGCAGAUUCGAGCUCAUCAGUUUGAUGAUAUUGGAUUGAGGUCGAUUUGAGAUAAGGUAUUGAGUGGGAGUCUAAGGAAGCCUCACUUGAUUCAGAUGGAAUUUUGUGGAAUGGAGGCCAAGUUUGUAUGACGAGAGUGUGUGACUAGAUUAAGUUGAUCUUGGAGGAGGCCCAUUGUUCCAGAUAUUCCAUCCAUCAAAGUAUGACUAAGAUGUAUUGUGAUUUAAGAAACCACUACUGGUGGGGUGGUAUGAGGUGAAAUAUAGAAGAUUUUGUGGCUCUUUGCCUAUGUUGUUAGCAGAUGGAGGCUAAGCAUAUGAGAUAUGGUGGUUUGCUUCAAAGGUUACCCAUUCCUGAGUGAAAGUAGGAACGCAUAACCUUGGACUUUGUGACUGGUUUGCCUCGUACUUCUCAUAGUUCUGACAAUGUUUGGUUCAUCGUGGAUCGAUUGACCAAGUCAGCUUAUUUUAUUCUGGUUUAGGUCUCAUUCAGUGCUGAUAGGUUAGCCCAUAUCUACAUUUAUGAUAUUGUGUGUCUUCAUGGUGUGUCAGUGUCCAUUAUUUCAGAUCAAGGUCUUAUAUUCACAUCUCACUUUUGGAAGACUUUUCAGGAUGAGUUGGGUACUUGAUUGAUCUUAGCACAGGGUUUCACCCCUAGAUUGAUUGCUAGUCAGAGCAAAUUAUUCAGGUUUUGGAGGAUAUGCUUCGUACAUGCGUGAUAGAUUUUGGUGGAUAGUGGGAGCAUGAUGGAUUAUUGCACUUUAUUUUGGUAUUGGAUUUUAUGGACUGCAUUGAUUGAAUUAGAUUUGCACUUGAUCUCGUGUCGACUUUUAAAAGUUAGAGUUUAGAAGUCCCUUGACAUUUUUUUCUUUUGCGAGUGAUGAUUGUCCGAGUGUCACCUUUCUUGCUAUUAGAGUAGCCUUUUGACGUGGACUUGCCUAUUAUUUUCUUUAAGGUUGGAACCUCAAUUGGGUCAAAGCUCUCACAUUGUAGCAUGACGAUUCCUUUAACUUUUGGUGACGACACAAAGCACAUGGGUUAUAGAGCUUUUGAAACUGAACCUUUUUUAUGAUCCAAUUUGGCGUUAACAUAAUUUGCAUCAACUAUAUUUUCAUUAUCAAUGAUGAUUUUCUCCCCCGCGUUAGUGUCGUGAUCUUUUUCUUUAAGAUGAAGUAUUUUUUGGUGUGAUGACUAACAAUACAGUGAAAUUUGCAGUACUUAGCAUUGUCGACUUUGUUAAAUUCUACAGGUCACUUUGACUUAGGGAGUUCAAUGACUUCUUUGGCUAGCAACUCAUCAAAAAUCUCAGAAAUAUCAGGGUCGGAAAAAGGAUAUACCUUUGCUUGUAACUCCUUCAAAGUUGGUCAAUUUUUCACUCCUCGUAAUUGUUGCUUUGGAGAUUUCUUAUUCAAUUUUUGUCUUAUGGAGGCCAUCAUAGAACUCAAAAUUAUUGUCGUAGAUUCCCAAAUUUGGUUUUUUGAUGAGUCCUUGAAUCUUAUGACUUCUUUUCUGGGAUCAAAGACAGGUGACCGCUUUCAUGACUUGCAAUGCUUAACUCCAUGUCAUGAGCACACAUAGCAAAUUCUUCAAAAGUUCAAGGCUUAGAUCCUUGAAGGAUAUAGACAAGGCCCCAAUCCAUUCCUUUGUGAUCCUUGCAAUUAAACUCAAUGUUCGCCAGCGAUUGAUGUAGUCUACUACAGGCUUAUCUUUACUUUGUCUUGUGUUUGUCAACUCCGUCAUGCUAAUCAUAUGACGGGUGCUGUAGAGAUGAUUUAAGAACUUACUUUCUAGUUGCUCCUAAUAAUCAAUUGAUUCAGAUUCCAAAUUUAUGUACCAAUGAAAGCCGUUGCCUUUCAAAAAGCAAACAAAUUGCUUGAUAAGAUCACUAUGUGUACCACACUACUACAAGUCCUAACGAAAUGAGCGAUGUUUUUCCUUGGAUUUUCAUUUCCAUCAAAUUGUUAAAACUUUGGUGGUUGAUAUUCAACUGAUAUCGGUAAGUCCUUGAUUCGCUUAGAAUAUGGCUUUGAGUAUCCUAUAAAACUUUAUGAUGGACUGCUAUAUUGCAUCUAGAUGGUGUUUGCAAUCAUAUCUUGCCGUUGUUGAACUAUUAAAGUAUCCAUUGAAGCAGAUCGAUUAGUGCAUUGAUUGUCAAUUGACUUGAUGAGAGAUUCACCAUAAAUUUUUUCCUUGAAGUGUUAGAUUAUAACUUGACUCUGCAGGGUUGUAGAGAUCUAACUUGCCCAUAAGUUGGGUGAUUUGAAGAUCUUUCUCAUUCACAGGCUUCUUCAAGGCUUUAAUGGUAUGUUCCAUCAUUGCCAACUGCAUCAACCAUGAAGGUAUUGACUUUCAUUAAAUUUAGAGAAUUCAUUGAGUCCUCAGAUUCUUCAAAGUUGAAAAUAGUUUCAGACAAGUCGUUUGAUAACAUAGGUGCAAGAUUGACUCCGGGGGUUGUAGUUACAACCGAAAUUUAAGAUUUUCUCCUUUUUGUUAUCUCUAAAAAGGUCAAGUUUUGAGAUCUAUCCAAAGCACAAGCGUUGAGCUUGCAUCGAUUAAUGGGGCCAGCAAGUUUGAUCUCUGUAGAUGUGACAGUAAUAGAUUUCUUGCACAAAACGUCAUUGAUUUUUUUGAAUCCUAUUGCGGCAGUUGAGUUUGUGAUUUUCCAAUUCACGUAAGGAAGAGAUAAAGAGCAGAGAUGGUCCCACCAGGCACACUAAAAUUUAUUCGCAAUAAAUUUUUGUGGUGCUGAAAAUUAACUCCAAGAAAAAAUAAAUAAAAUCAAAAUAAUUUAUUAAAUAAAUUUUGUGAGUACAAUUCUAUUGUUCUCUUGAUUCUUCCCUCCUUAGCUUUUUUGUGAUUCGAGGGUCUUACGUAACGUGUUUCUCGAAUAUAGGAUGAUUCAGACUUCCUUGAGAUGUGUUUGAUCUCCAGAGACGUCGUGCAACACUUCUUUGUUUUAGGUUGAUCUUGGGAAGAACUCUGUUGACUAUUCCUUUGAAGAGUUGUGCAAUUGAUGUUGCGACUUGCUCCAACGCUGGCAGCAUAACCUCAGAAAAAUUAUGUAACCCUCUUAUUUAUAGUUGUAAGGGGUAGACAAUUUAAUUGUAAAUAACCUCUUCUUCCUCAUUUUGAUUGGUCCAUCAAGUUAUCAAGCUUAUCACAAAUGGUGUGUGAUAAGGUUGCUUGUGAUUGGCCAAAAAUAUGUUAUUUGGUAUACUUGAUGAUGAUUCAUUGGUUGUUGAACUUGACUUGGCUUGCCACGCCAUUUAAAUAUUUGGUCUUGGCUUGUUGGUCUUUAAUUUGACUAGGAUGCUACGUCACUUGACUCGUGGUAUGAGUUUGGAUUUCAAGAUGGACCUUGAAUUUAAUUUAAUGAACUUAUUAACUUUGUACAGCUCAAACUAAUUUCAACCCAAACAAAUAUGAAUUCAAUCCAAAUUUUCUAUGAAUUUGAUCCAACAAAUUUUAUCUGUCUACAAGUACAUGCUACAAUUUAUUUAUUUAUAUUUAUUUAUAUUUAUAAUUAUAUUUAUAUUUAUAAUAUAUAAAAAAGGCCUAAAGCAGGCAGGAAGAGGUUGUCCUGCUAGUUUGCUUCCUCAGGGUUACAUUGGUCACUUCAAUUAGGGAUAUUAUAGACUUUUCAUAGUAUUUUUCUGUAUUGCAACUUGCAUGCCUUUCAAGCAUUCAUCCUAAAUCUUAACGUGACAAACACACACGAGAAUAUUUUUGUGUGUUUUCCAGCUCAUCUUCACAUAUCUAUCUCAAAGUUUGGGUAAAGCGAUUUACUCUUUGAAGGUUGUAAUUUUGAACAUUUGUGUGAGUUCUCUUUAAUAAUUGCUCUAUUAUACAAUUCCAUUGAUUAAUUUGGAGUUCUCUUCAUCUGUUUGAUAUUGUGUCUGCCUUCGAUUUUGUUAUUCAUAGUUUCUUCUUGCUGCAAUUUAUUUUUUUUGUUAUCUAGACAAUGAUGUUUCCUACUUCAAUGUGAAUUUCUCUUUGAUUAUUUAUCCAUUCUUUUACAGGCUUUAUCAAUUUCGUAGUUAUGUGUUCUAUUUGGUGAUAUCUCUACUUUUAGGUCUAAUGGUUUCAGAGAUGAACUUUAUUUCUUUGUGCGAUUAUGGCUUUAAAUUUGCUUUUUCAUUGAAAUUUUUUAUCGUAAACUUGAAUGAUGGUACUUAAAUUUUGUUUCUUUUCGGUGUGAUUUAGAGGACAUGAUUUUAUAGAUUUAUUUUGCAAAUUUGCUUGCUCUCUAUUUAUUUUAAUUUGUUUUCAUCCUACUUCUCCUCUGUUUACUGAUGACACCAUAGCAAUUACUGAAAGAUCCUAAACCUGGAAAGAGUUUCUAUUUUAGUCAUCGUGCAUUCAAGGUAAACUAUUUUUGGGGCGUGGAUAAAAAACCACGUCGACUACACCUUAUCCUUGGGUGUUGAUACUCAAGAUGUUUAGAAACCUACUACUGCAAAGGAUAAAGUUAUAAAUUACUAUGCAUUUGUUGUUACUCAUGAACUCAAGAUCUUUUGUGCUCUAUCAAAUACUUCCAGACUGAAGCCAAAUAAUGGAAUACCAAUGUCUUUGGUAAUAUCUUCCAUAAGCUUAAAAGACUCCUAGCCCGACUUAAUGACAUUCAUAAAUCCAAACACUGCCCUUAUAGAAAUUUUCUCCAUAACUUGGAAAAUGAGGUGCUAGAGAAGUACAACCUCACUCUUUAGUAUAAGCAGGAUUUCUGAAAAAAAACAAAUCCAAAAUCAACUGGCUCAGUGAGUGUAAUGCAAAAACUAAAUUUUUCCAUACAGCCACCCUCAACAAAAGGAGAAAAAACUAAAUCCUCUCCCUAAAAGAUGUUACUAGAAACCUCAUACAGGGAGAGGAAGAAAUUAUCAAUCACAUAGCCAACUUCCUUAACACUCUCUAUACCACUGAACACAGUAACUCCAAGUGGUACAAAACCCCAGUCUAGAAAUAACAUCACUUCCCUCUUUAAGGAGACUAAGAGCUUGUUGGCAACCCCCUAAGAGAUAGUAAAAUUACCAAAGCUCUUAGUAUUUUCCAUCCCAUGAAAGCCCCUGGACCAAAUGGGCUCCACCCUUUAUUCUUCAAAAAAUUAUUGGAAUUUUGUGGGUAAGAAGACCAUAAAAUAUUUUCACAAAGUCUCUAAAGACAAUUGCAUUCCUAAGGAGGCCAACACCACAUUUCUCUGUCUCAUUCCUAAAUGCCAUAAUGCCACAUCAAUUAGGAAUUUCAGACCUAUUAGGCUCUGUAACUUCUCCGACAAGCUCAUUACUAAAAUCAUACUCAGUAGGAUCGAACCUUACCUAGACCUUCUCAUUGGACCUAAUCAAGCUAGCUGCUUAGCCAACUAGAGGGCUGCAGACAAUGUAUCAGUUACUUUAGGAAAAUGAGAGGGAAGAAGGCCAACAUGAUCUUGAAAAUAGAUCUAGAAAAAUCCUUUCAUAGGCUUGAAUGGUCCUUCAUCCAUGCACCCUUCUCUACUUCAAUUUCCCCAAGAACCUCACUAACCUCAUCAUGUCAUGUGUGACCACUUCCUUUAUUUCCAUCCUCAUUAAUGGCAAACCAUCCCCCUUUUUUGAACCCACCAGAGGCAUAAAAUAGAGAGACCCCAUUUCACUUUACCUUUUCAUCCUGUAUAUGGAAAGACUCUCCAGGAUCAUCAAUGAAACUGUACUCUAAAAGACUUGGGACCCCAUCAAAAUCACUACCAGUGGGCCCAAAAUUUCUCACCUCUUGUUUGCUGAUGACCUCACCCUUUUUGCCCAAGCUGACCUCAAAAACUGCAGAACCAUCAUCUAGCCCCUUAAUUACAUUAGUAAUAUCUCAGGAUAAAGAAUCAACUAUGCUAAGUCUAAAGUCAUCUUCUCUAAAAAUUACAGCAACAGUCUAGCCCAUGAAUGCUCCAUCAUCCUCAACAUCAAGAGAGGAGAUACCUUUAAAAACUAUCUUGGCUUUUCCAUCCUGAAUCACAAGCCCAUCCGUGCUUUCUUCCAGUACAUCAUUAACAACAUGAAUAAUAAACUAGUAUGCUGGAAAACCCACAUGCUUAACAUGACAGACAAAACUAUUCUUGCUAAAUCCACCUUGAGCAGUAUGCCCAUUAAUGUCAUGCAAUACCUUAAGCUUCCCCCAAAAACUAUUGAGAUUAUUGAUAGAAUUCAAAGGAACUUCGUGGGGAAGUAAUGCUGGAAAAAAGAAACUUCACCUUGUAAGCUAGGACAUCAUUGCAAGAAGCAAAUUCGAAGGGGGUCUAGGACUUGAAGACUCUUCAAAAACCCAAACUCUCUUUGGGUAAAAGUCUUAAUUUCUAAAUACCAAAAACAAAGAAGAAACAGUAAUGGUAGGACUUGGGUCUUUAGAAAUUGGAAAAUUAUCAGGAUGGAAAGAUUGUGGUAGGGGGAUGGCUUGGUCCAUCCACAAGGGUAACAAAGACAAAUUCUUCUAUAACUCAUUGAUACCUCAUACCAACCCUAUUAGGCACCACAUCUAUAGCCCUCUAAGAUUGAGGGAAGAAAACAUCAAAGUUGAAUAGAUCACCACGGAAUAUGGGAUUUGUCAAAACUAUCCAUCCAGAUACUUGGAAACAUUGUGAAAUCAUUCUUCACUCUAAACCCUUCCCUUGAGCACCAGAGAUGAUCAUCCAUACUAGAAACUAAUCAGUGAUGAAAAAUUCACUAGUAGUAUCUAUGAUGCCAUUGCUCAAUUUAUGAAUACCUCUCUCAACAUUGAUCUAAGAGUCUUCAAUGAAAUAUGGAAAGCUAACACACCCAAUAAGAUUAAGACUUUCCUUUGAAUUUUCACCUAUGGAAGAAUCCUCACCAAUGCUUACCUCAGUCAAAUAGGGUUGUACAUAGACCCCGAAUGCUCUUACUGCAACCUGGACACCACAACCUCUAAGCAUAUUUUCUUCCAAUGUCCCAAUGCUUUUGACUUCUAGAGAAAACUGCAAGAAACUGGGGUAAUCCCUAUAAUGACUACCCUUCACACCUUGGACAAUGUUAAUUGGGUAGUGUUGAUACCCAAUUUUAUCUCUCCAAACAUAAAAUUAACGCAUUCAGGCUCCCUGAUCAUUAAAUGACAUAAAAUGCAAUUUGUCGUAUAUUUUUUACAAUUGUUAAUAAAUUAUUAUUCCCUUCGUUUAAAAAAGAAUGACCUACUUUUCUUUUUAGUCUGUUUAAAAAAAGAAUGAUCCCUUUCUUUUUUUGGCAAUACUUUAAUUUCAAUUUUCCACAUAGCAUGUUUAGGACCACAAGAUUAAAGGGCAUUUUGGUACAUUUGACACAACUUUAAUUUAAGGCCACAAGAUUAAAAAGUCUUCUUCAUUUUCUUAAACUUUGUGUCAAGUCAAAGUUGAUCAUUCUUUUUUAAACGAGGGAGUAAUAAUCAUCAUUAUUUUAAAAUUUUUAUCAAUUUAUUGUCAUAUUUUAACUUUGCAUAAUUUAUUGAUAAUUAUUCUUAAUUUCAUAAAUUUUAAAAUUUUUGUCAGUUUAUUAUCAUUUUAAUUUCUUGUACAGUCAUUUGCAUGCGUAUAUAGCAUAGCACUGCAAUUUUUUUACCGUACAUUAUAAUUUUAAUUGUUUAUAGUAUAAUAUAUUUUUUUGGAUAAUUUUAUUAUAUUUGUUAUUUACAUUUUUCUGUAAUUAUAUAUCGACAUUCAUAUUUUUAUACGUUAUUUAAUAUAGUCUGCAAACGAUAAUUUCGACUUAAUUAUUUUGAUACAUGGAGCAACAAAUCAGUCAAAUCAAAAUCUGAUCACUUUUUAAAAAGUGACAUUUGAGAUGAUAGGUUAAUGCUUUCAUUCGUUGAAUAAAUAAUCUUUACACAUUGGUUAAAAGGGUGUAAGACCCAUGGGAUAAUAUGUAGUAACUUAAAUCAUUUACUCUCUUCGUUUAAAAAUGAUGACCUACUUUGAUUUGACACAAAGUUUAAGAAAAUAAAAUUUUUUUUUUGAAUCUUGUGGCCUUAAAUUAAAGUUGUGUCAAAUACACCAAAAUAUCCUUUAAUCUUAUGGUCCUAAAUAUAUCAUGUGAAAAGUUGAAAUUAAAGUAUUACAAAAAAAAAGAGAUCAUUCUUUCUAAAAUGGAUUAAAAAUAAAAUAAGUCAUUCUUUUUUAAAUGGAGAGAGUAUUAAAGAGACAAGAAGAGGUAGUUUAUUAUUUUUUUUGGAUAAAAAAAUGAAUUCCUCCUUAUUAUAAAUAAUAAUAAGAGGGUAAUUAUUUUUAACCUCACAGUGCAUACACAAACGCACAUGCACACAGACACACAUACCUCCCCAUUCUCUCUCUCACCAUCUCCGACAGCCUGACAGGCGGAGCACCACCAGUCGCUGCCCCUCUCUCUCCUCUUCCCUCUCUCCUUCUCCUUCACUGUCGCCAACAAAAUCGACCGGAGCCGUUACCGCACCCAAUCCCCCGUUUUCUCUCUCCGCUUCAGCACCACCAGCUGCCACCACCGCCUCAACAUCCACCAGAGGAGCAUCCAACCAGACAAGCCAGCAGCCCAUUCCACCCGUGUUUCCACCACUGUCGUUGGAGCUUCCACGGGUCUCACUGCCAUCGCCACCCUUUCCCUCUUUGCCCUCAUCGUUGACCAGCCUACUAUCACUACUGUAUUUUCUCCCUUUACCUGCAUUUUUUAAUAAAAACUAUUCUUUGCAGAUCUGUUUGGCUUUCGUAUUUUUUGGUGUUGCUUCGGUGAAAUCCGUGGAAGCAGCGCCUCCCUUUUUCCAUUGUUGCAACCAGAUCUGACCGGGAAAUAUUUUUCUUUGUUGAAAUCUGUUUGUUAGCUUGUAUACUCUUGUAUCGUUAGUUUGUUCUAUCUGGAUAUUGUUACUGUGUUAACGGACUAAGUUUGUUAAUUUUUUUUUUUGUCUUUUGUUCGAAGAUAAAUCAGCUCGGAACUUACAUUCUUUUUGACAAAUUUUGGAUUAUUUUGAUAAAACUGUGAUGACCUCUGCCACUCGACUGCUUUCUUUCAUAAUUUUAUCACUUUUGCUUUAUGCUAUUAUCUUUCUCUGUCUCUUUAUUAUUAUUAUUAUUAUUAUUAUUAUUAUUAUUAUUUGUGGACUGAUUUAGUAUUGUUUAAAUUUAAAUUUUUUUCCAUUGACUUGCUAUUAUUUUACUUGAUUAUAUGAUCACUUAAAUAUGUGUUCUUGAUUCAUUUGAUAUUGAUGCGUAUUUUAAAUGACACGUGUAAUCUGUCUUUUUCUGUUUAUUUUUCAAUGAUUUUAGGUAG
RNAcentral lists this long non-coding RNA (46159 nucleotides) under Capsicum annuum. RNAcentral's name for it is "long non-coding RNA (CANN_LNC005388)". Lineage: Eukaryota; Viridiplantae; Streptophyta; Magnoliopsida; Solanales; Solanaceae. The record is from RNAcentral.